This 45718-nucleotide long non-coding RNA is filed under the name Citrus sinensis (sweet orange). Its description in RNAcentral is "long non-coding RNA (CSIN_LNC003385)". Lineage: Eukaryota; Viridiplantae; Streptophyta; Magnoliopsida; Sapindales; Rutaceae. The record is from RNAcentral.
AUAAUCUUCUGGAAACAGAGAACACAACAAGAAGCAUAACUUGGACUCCUCACUAUUUAAAUUGUCGUAACUGAAUUUGAGACAACCGUAAACGCCUUGGUCAUCCUUGUCAAUACCUUCUAUUGCAUAGAGUUUUGCUUCCCUUAGGUUAGAUAGUGCUAGAUUCCAAUCAUCAAAUCCUUUUUCUCUUAGUGCACUUCCAACAACUUCAAUAGCUAAAGGCAGCCCCUUACAUUCGCCAGCAACUUGUUUUGAAACACCAUCCAAGGAGGAGUCGUUUACAUUAAUACGGGCAUUCAUUUUUAGGAGAGUCAAUCCUUCUUCUGCUGUUAGUGUACCAAGUUCAAUCUGUGGGUAACAACCGAAAAAACCACAAAUUGACUUUUUGCGAGUGGUUAGAAGGAUUUUGCAACAAUUGUCUCUAUCACUAAUGGGAAUACCUAAUUUUUUCUCCAAGUCGAGUUGUUUCCAAACAUCAUCAAGGAUUAUGAGGAUUUUGCUGCCUUUAUUCUCAGAAAACAUCAACCGCAAUCGAUCUGCUCUCUCUUUUUCAUCUGUCUCAUUUAACGCCCAGCCUAACGACUUUACCAGCUCACCUUGAACCUUUAUUAUAUCUGGAUCCUGAGACACAGUGACUAUCCCCACCUUAUCGAAAUCCUUUUGUUGCCGAAGUUGAUUGCCCACAAAUUUUGCCAGGGUUGUCUUUCCUACGCCACCGAGACCAUGCAAUCCCACCAUCUUUAUGCUCGCUUUUUUCAGGGCGUCAAUGAUCUGAUUGCGAGCUGAUUCUGUGGUCUCGAAGGUAGAAGAAAAAUAACUUGGUAAACUUAAUUCUCUCUCUAAUGUUAGAGGUUUAGGACGGGCAACUGUGCUGAAUUUGCUGCGGUCUUGUAGCAGAUCGGACAACUUGCUAGUCUUCUUUGAAGCUUUUCUACCCAGCCAGUAUCGCCAACCCCAAUUAGGACACCAUCCAUUAAGACAACUCUUCUUUUCAUCUAUCUUUGCUUUCAAAUUUCGAACGUCGGCCAUUUCUUUGUCUACAUCCUCGAGCCAUGUCUCGACAUCUUUCUCGACUACUAUAGCACGGUGUAUUUGUCGUUCUUGUUCUACUCUUUCAUUGAUGCCAUCUUGUGCCUCCUUCAAAUUGGUUUCUUUAACCUUAAGUUCUUUAUCUAUGCUGUUGAAACAGAGCAGAUAGCGAGCUUGGUUUAUGGUUGCAUCCGCCAAUAAUUCUCCAAGCUUUGAUGCAACACCUGAUAAAAUUUCCAUGCUAUUUAUCUGCAAUUAACAAGUUGAUCUCAGUAUGCUAUAAGCAAAACAUCAAGGCUUGAUCACAAGAUCGAACGAGAAUAUUUAAUUGCUUUAAAUAAGAGCAAAAUGCAAAACAGAAGAGAAUGAAAUAAGGUAAACGUUAUAUAUGAUGGAUUACAUUGAAAUUGGAUUACUUUAGAAAUUUUUAAAUAAAAAUAUCAAACAACAAAUUUUAUAGAAUCCGGAUAAACCUAAGAGUUUGUUGUGCAUGGCGAGUGAACACAGGCAGUUGCGUGGGGAAUAUGAUAGAAGUGAUGAAAAACUGAAAAGCCACCCAUAAUAACAAUUAAAAACAGUAUUAGAGAUUAGAGGAGUUCAACAUCCCAUGCAAGCCCACUCAUGAAAAAAUAUGAAUGGUUUCAAGAUGAUUACUCUUUUUUUUUUUUACCUUUAAUAAAUAUUCUAAUAAAAUAAUACCAUAAUUUCAAAUAAUAUCUUAAUUUCUUUUUCCUUUAAAUGUUCAUUGAUCUCACAUAUUGGAUAAUUAAUUUAAUCAUUUGUUAAAUUAUUUAUUACUCUAUCUUAUUAUUCGAUAGAUAUAAAUGACACCUUAUUUGGUAUGAUAAAAAAUUGGGGUAAAUUUUCUUUUAUUCUCAGAAGUUUGGACCUAUUACUAGUUAUAGUAUUUGUAUUUUUUAAAAUUUUACCUAAACGGUCCAUGUCAUAUCUUUUAUAGCCAUCGAACAUGACUUUUCAAGUGUAAGAUAAUAUUUUUGUCUGUUAUAAAUUAAAAUUCAAAUGAAUCUAUCAUGCAACAAAUGAAACGUAAAUAAUAUUAAUUAGGUUUUAAUUGGAAACAAAUAUAAAAAAUUGCUUUUUUAUUAAUUUUUGUGAAGUCUUUUAAUGUUCGAAUUAGAAUUGAAUAAUUUGUAUAAGGAUAAUUUAUAGGAAGAUAAUCUGCAGAAUAAGCUUAUAUGUCGAAUUUAAAAGAGUUAUAUUAGUAAUCAUAUAUUUAUUAAAUUUUUUUAAUAAAAAAUUUGUUUAAAAAUUGGCCAAAUGGGUUUCAUGAAUAAAAUAGAAGAGCAUGAACAGCGCCACUUUCAAUUUUUAUUGUGGUUGUACAAUUGAAAAGACGCAUUAAAUGGACCAAUUUGAAAUGGCAAGAGAGCAUAAUGGACUCAUGUUGGGACUUGGAUAGGAAAAUUAAUUUUAUUUUAAAGUAUGGUCAACAGUACUGAUUUGGAGGUGAUUGACGUUAAGUUAAAUUAAUGAAAACAAAUGGCAAAAAAAUUUUAAUGAAAAUUAAUUAAUGAAAAAACGCAUUAAAAAAUUUGAACUUAAGAUCGUGAUCAUUUUGUCCGUAUGUUUUUAAUCCAACGGCUCAGAAUUGGCAUAAAACAAGCUCGUAUAGCCAUUGGAAGUAAAACAAAAAUCAAUUUAAGAGCCUAUGAAACAAUAAGAUCUCAUACCUUCUUCGUUAUAUAUCCUCAAUUACUGCUGAAAGCUCCAGUUAAGAGAGUCGCACAAGUUCGGAAAAAAUUAUAAAAAGCUGCAUAUGGCAAUAUAAAUAAACAUCAGAUCAAAACGACAUCGGAUAUAUCUACCUAAUUAACAUCUCAUAUAAGUCCUUGUUCUCAGUCAAAUAUUUCAUCCUUAGAAAAAAGAAAAAAAAAAGAUUGCAAUAAUAACUGUAUGUUUUUAAUCCAACGUGCAAAAUUGGCAUAAAACAAACAUUAAGUUAAGACUUUAGAGCCUAUGAAACAAUAAUAUCUCAUACCUUCUUCGUUAUAUAUCCUCAAUUACUGCUGAAAGCUCCAGUUAAGAGAGUCGCACAAGUUCGGAAAAAAUUAUAAAAAGCUGCAUAUGGCAAUAUAAAUAAACAUCAGAUCAAAACGACAUCGGAUAUAUCUACCUAAUUAACAUCUCAUAUAAGUCCUUGUUCUCAGUCAAAUAUUUCAUCCUUAGAAAAAAGAAAAAAAAAAGAUUGCAAUAAUAACUGUAUGUUUUUAAUCCAACGUGCAAAAUUGGCAUAAAACAAACAUUAAGUUAAGACUUUAGAGCCUAUGAAACAAUAAUAUCUCAUACCUUCUUCGUUAUAUAUCCUCAAUUACUGCUGAAAGCUCCAGUUAAGAGAGUCGCACAAGUUCGGAAAAAAUUAUAAAAAGCUGCAUAUGGCAAUAUAAAUAAACAUCAGAUCAAAACGACAUCGGAUAUAUCUACCUAAUUAACAUCUCAUAUAAGUCCUUGUUCUCAGUCAAAUAUUUCAUCCUUAGAAAAAAGAAAAAAAAAAGAUUGCAAUAAUAACUGUAUGUUUUUAAUCCAACGUGCAAAAUUGGCAUAAAACAAACAUUAAGUUAAGACUUUAGAGCCUAUGAAACAAUAAUAUCUCAUACCUUCUUCGUUAUAUAUCCUCAAUUACUGCUGAAAGCUCCAGUUAAGAGAGUCGCACAAGUUCGGAAAAAAUUAUAAAAAGCUGCAUAUGGCAAUAUAAAUAAACAUCAGAUCAAAACGACAUCGGAUCUGAAAGCUCCAGUUAAGAGAGUCGCACAAGUUCGGAAAAAAUUAUAAAAAGCUGCAUAUGGCAAUAUAAAUAAACAUCAGAUCAAAACGACAUCGGAUAUAUCUACCUAAUUAACAUCUCAUAUAAGUCCUUGUUCUCAGUCAAAUAUUUCAUCCUUAGAAAAAAGAAAAAAAAAAGAUUGCAAUAAUAACUGUAUGUUUUUAAUCCAACGUGCAAAAUUGGCAUAAAACAAACAUUAAGUUAAGACUUUAGAGCCUAUGAAACAAUAAUAUCUCAUACCUUCUUCGUUAUAUAUCCUCAAUUACUGCUGAAAGCUCCAGUUAAGAGAGUCGCACAAGUUCGGAAAAAAUCAAAUCUUUCAUUCUUAGGAGAUAAAAAAAAAAUUGAAAUAAUAACUGUUCAGUGACAUAGGAUUAGGAAGCAAAAGUAACAUACCAAAAUGAGAGUAGCCAGUUCACAGAUGACAGAUCCGGUGACUUCAAGAGCAUAAAAAAUUAUUGAACUUUGUUAGAAAGGUCUGAGUCGUGUUUCACAAAAUUAUUGAACUUUGUAUUUGGGGUAUUUUUUUGGUUGUUAAGUGAAUGAGCUUAAAUCUAAAACAUUUAUUUAUAUAUUUCUUGUUGGAAAGAAUUUAAAUCUUAUUCUUAUUAGACUUAUUCUUUUUAAACAAAGGUAGAUUUUUCUCUUUGUGUUUAACGUGUAUUUUAAAAUUAAUGUUCAACAUAUCUUUAGAUUCUAUUAUAAAUAUUCAUAUCUAAAAUCUCAACAGAUUUCAUAAUAUAUAAAUAUAUAUAAAAAGAGAGAAUAAUUCUAAUAAGAAAUUUAUUAAGUUAAAGAAUAAUUCAAAUAAUAAAAUAACACACUUCAAUGUAUACAUAUCUUUAGAUUCUUUAGUAUAAUAAAAUAUAUUGUAUUAAAAUAUAUAUUUUAUUUACUUUUUUUAAUAUAUCUCUUAAUAACUUAAGAAAUCCUUUAUUUACCUCUCUCUCUCUCUAUAUAUAUAUAUAUAUAGUUUUUUAAAAAAUAGACAAUUUAGAGUUAAACAACGGACAUUAUGGGGGCCUUUACUAGACUACCAAUCUACCAUUUUGGAUUGUAAUAAAGUUAAAAUGGGUUUCUUUCAAAAGAAAGAAAAAGUGACAAUCAAUCUUGCCGGCCAAUACAUCAACUUUUUAGCUGGAUUAUUACCACCACAAAACUAAAUUAUUGCAAGCACUAGCAAAAAGCAAUCGAUGAUUUCGCAAUUUGGCUGUCAAAAAGCAAACUAGAUCACGAUUCCUCCAUUAAAAAUGGUGCUUUUUUUUAUUAAAUACGUAAAAAUUAAACCAACAAUUCAAAAUAGACGAUUGUAGAUGCGUAUAAACUGAAGAAGGUAAAUUUUUCGUGUGUGUAAAUAUUUUAGUUAACAUGAAAGAAUUCUAACAAAGUUAAUAUAAGAGUAUCAUAGCAAUACAAGAGUAAAUAUAUAUAUGUGUGUGAGUGAAGGAAGAAAAAAAAAUUAAGAAUAAUUUUGGCAUUUUGAUGGGUUUUAUAGAGUAAAAUCUAUAUUUUCAAAUAUGAUAAUUCUUUAAUUUAAUUUGAUGUUAUGAAAAAAGGGCAUUUUAAAUAUGUUUUAAGAUAAAGUGAAAACAGUAGACUACCAAUAUACCAUUUUGGAUUGCAAUAAAGUGAAAAUGGGUUACUUUCAAAAAAGAAAAGGUAACUGUGAGUUCUCCAUUUCAUCUUGUCGGCCAAUACAUCAACUUUUUGCUGGAUUAUUAUCACCGUCAAAAAUAAAUUAUUGAAUCACAAGCAAAAAGUAAUCUGUCGUCAUCUUGAUUCCGUAAUUUGGCUGUCAAAAUACAGGGUAAAACUAAGUUCUCAUUAAAUAUAUAAUUGUAUAGUUGUAUUAAUAAAAUUUAAUGGCUAAAAAUAAUAAUGGUACUGUAUUGCUGUUGUAAUAUAAUUGGACCCCAAAAUGCAAUCCAUAAAGAUUACCAUACCUCGUUUUAAAAAAAUACUGUUUCUGAUGAAAUAAAUGAAAAUUAAACUUGCAAUCUACCACGAACACACCAUUCAAUAAGCCGUUUAUUUCUCCUUAAAUUUUUAAUCUCAAUGAAACAUAAAUCUAAUGGGAACUACACAUAUAUAAAAAUACUAUAGAUUGAAGAAGUUGAUUUUUUCUUGUGUUAAGUAUUUUUGGUUAAUACGAAAGGAUUCUAGCAAGUUAAUACAAAAGUUUCAUAAAUUCAUAGUAGCACAAGAGAUUUUUUUUUCUUUUGAUAUUAAGAGUUUUUGAGAUAAAAAAAAUAGGUGAAAGAAGAAGAUGAGAGAAGAAAAAAUAUUAAGAAUAGUUUUGGCAUUUUGAUGCGUUUUAUAGAGUAAAAUCUAUAUUUUAUAGUAUAAAAUGGUACACCCAGAAUUUAAUGAUAAAAUUUUAGAAAAAAAUUGCACUCGUCAAGAAAAAAAAAAAGCUCAGCUUAACUCAAAAUUUUUUUAUUAAUCGUCUAGUCGCUAAUGUAAUCUCUUUUUUAUGAGAUUCUUUGGCGAUUUGAUUUAGUCCAUUGUUAGCAAUCCUAAUAGCUUUUAUGUGGAUCUAUUUUUAUUUGAAAUAUGUUUCAAGCUUGAAUAAAAUCUGCGGGACAACUAGUAAGUAAUAAAGCUCAUCACUUACACUUAGCAUGAUAUUAUUUUUGAUAAGUCAUUGUUUUGGUAGAUUAUUUUUUCUGACACGCUCUUAGAUUUAGUGAAAAUAAAUUGUAUACUUUUAAUGAAGAAAAGUAAAGAUUAACAAAAUAUUUUGUUGUUUUCGGUAAUUUUUGCGCUGUCAAGUGCGCCUGGUACCUUUUUUUUUUUUUUUAACUUUUGAGGUGUUGUUUAAUUUGUAUUAAAAUUAAUUAUCAUGGACCCACGUGCCAUUGUUUUCAUUUCAAGUUUCAUAAUUUAACAGUAGAAAUAGGUUCCACAGAUAAUUUAUUUUAUAAUUUUUUUAAAAAUUACUAAAAUGUAAUAAAUAAGGUAAUAAUAAUUAAUAAAAAGUAGAUUUUAAGAUGGAAAAAUCUUUUUGUGUACUUAAUAAAAAGAUGAUAAGAAUGGGAUGUUUUUGGUUAAUUGGUUUACAUUCUCAUAGUUAUUUAUACUGAAAAAUUACAUCAAAAUUUAAUUAAUAAAUCAGUGAACUGCAGACUUAUUAAAUUUAAGCUAUUUUAAUAAGUCAUAAAUAUACUAAGUUAAAAUAGUAGUAAACCCAUUGUUACACAAUACUCUCCAUUGAGUGUUCACCAUUUUAAGAUAAUCAUAAAAUGACACCGGAAGUGCUAUUAUAGCUGUCUCAUGGAAAGCCUUCACCAAUAAAAAGGUGUUUGAUUUUAUCUUCUUUUAUAUACGCUCCUCUAACUUGUGUAAUAGUAGUAAACGGGUAAUUUUUAAAAAUUUUUCGUGAGGUUUGGGCUUGUUGCAAGUAGAUGGCGAGAAUCUAUUUAUUUGUAAAAAACUUCUUACCGUUAGUUACUUUUAACAUUGACCAUUAGUUGACUGUGUAAAGACAAUAUUACCCUUAACAACAAUUUGUAGAUGGAAUUAAUUAAAAAAAAACUAAAAUUGUUAGCUAUUUUACCCUCUUUAUAUUAUUAAUAUUUUCUUAAAAUUUCUACAAGAAUGAUAAAAUUAAAAACUUAAAUUUUUUUUUAAAUUAUUGAUAUUUCCUUAAAGUUCCUACAAGAAAGAUAAAAUUAAAAAUUUAAAAAUAAACUAGUCAUAAUCUUUCCCUAUAAUAUUAUAAAUCUUUGAAAUUGACAAGGAUAAAAUUAUCAAAAAAUAGGAAUUGUACUUUUCGCGCCAACAAUUUUAAUUUUUUUUUAAUUAUGUCAGUCUACAAACUGCUGUGAAGGGUAAUAUUAUCUUUACACAGUCAACUAAUGGUCAAUGUUAAAAUUAACUAACGAUAAGGGAUAUUUUAUAAAUAAACAAAUUCUCGCCAUCUAUUUGCAACAAACCCAAACCUCAGGGGAGGUUUUUAAAAAUUAUCCAGUAGUAAACCCCUGCCUGUUUUUAUUUCGUUUAGUAUUUUCUAAAUGGCCGAAGGAAAAUUGUUAAAAACUCAUUUAAAAAUUAAAAAAUCAAAGAAAUUCAAGAAGAAGCUUUUGUAUCUGCCAUUUGUAUUUGGGGUAUUUUUUUGGUUGUUAAGUGAAUGAGCUUAAAUCUAAAACAUUUAUUUAUAUAUUUCUUGUUGGCAAGAAUUUAAAUCUUAUUCUUAUUAGACUUAUUCUCUUUAAACAAAGGUUGAUUUUUCUCUAUGUAUUUAACGUGUAUUUUAAAAUUAAUGUUCAACAUAUCUUUAGAUUCUAUUAUAAAUAUUCAUAUCUAAAAUCUCAACAGAUUUCAUAAUAUAUAAAUGUAUAUAAAGAGAGAGAAUAACGUUUCUAAUAAGAAAUUUAUUAAGUUAAAGAAUAAUUUAAAAGAUAAAAUUGUAUUCAACCCAUUUAUAUGAUUAAUUAAGGUUUUAAACAAAUUUUGGACUUGUUCUAUUGUAGAGCUUAAAUUCAAAAUGGAAAAGUGAAGAAGGGAAAAAGAAGACGAAUAAAGAAGAAAAGAGGAGAACAACUUAUACCAAAGAGGGAGAACGAAAAAGUGAAGGACAGAAAAAGAAAAAGAAUAAAGAAGAAAUUAAUCAUCGCUGAUAUGAAAAUAAUUCCUUCUUCUUUAUUGUUCUUAGUGGUUCUACUUUUUUUUAUUGGAUUCUAAAUUUUUGUCGGAGAUGGAUUAUAAGAACUAGAAAAUUAUAAAGAUAAUUUUUUAAUUAUUCGAUUAAUUAAUUCCAGCAGAAGACAAGAAAUUGAUUCUGCUUCGUUAGAAAGCCAUCACAUUCUAUACGCAAUUGCAAAAAGUAUAUAUUUUUGUCUGUUUUAGACAAGAAUAAAAGGGAUGCCUGGUAUUGCAAAUCUAGACACGUUUUAGUGCUUUAUGUCCGAAUGAAUUCUUUCUUGCAACAAUAAACUUGGCCGAUCAGGAUUUGCCGUUUACAUAUGUAGGUCCUGUUGGUUCUGUAGUAGGACUCAUAAAUUUUUAUUUUUAAUUUACUGAAUCCAUAAAUUUAAAAUAACGGUGCAACUCCUGAGGGAUGACAAUGGGCCGGGUGAGGUCUUGGAGUCUGCAUAUUAAAAAAUGUGGAUCCGAAUAUAAAAAAUCCGCACGAAUCCGAAUGCAAGUGCAUUUGAAAAACCGGAUAUCGAGAUAUGGAUAAAAAUUUAUUUCAAAUUAAAAAUUAAAUUAAAUGUAUAUUAAAAAGUAAAUGAAAAAUUAAGAAAGUAAAUUUUAUUUGUGGAUUUAUGAUGUCAUUGUAUAUUAUUCAUGUUGAAUUAUUAAUUGUUGGAUUAUGAUUGAAUUUUAUUUGAUAUUAUUGGGCAAAUUAUUGAAUUUCAUUUUAAAUUAAAAAUUAAAUUAAAAAUAUUUAUUAAAAAUUAAAUUUUAUUUGUAGAUUUAUGAGAUUAUUGUAUGUUAUUCAUUUUAAAUUUUUAAUUAUUGAACUAUGAUUAAAUUUUAUUUGAUAUUAUUAGGUAAAUUAUUAAACUUUUAAAUUUUAUAUUAAAUUAUAAGCAGUAGGAAAUUAUGGUAUUCAGAACAUGUAUACCUUCGCACAUGAAGCUUGAGUCCAGAACAAGAUGCAGCUAGCCAAUCCUUCAACUUCCAAAACCCCACAAAACCUCUGUCAACAUAUCUGCUCUACUUCAAUAUUAAGCACAUUCAUAGCGGUAUCAACAGCUUACAGCUCCAAAAAUAGUUUGAGAUUUCAUUGAAGCUAAGUUGUGACUUGUGACUGUCCAAAUGUUCUGUCACACGAAAUGAUUAUUCUUGUAACACAAAUCCAAUAGCAUGCAAUAUAAUCUACUCUCUAACACUGUGCAUUAGUAAAAUAAAACAGAGUAAAAAGAGAAACCAUGCCUGUGAAUCUCUUCUCCUACCCCCACCACCCCUUUUUUUGGUAAAGUCUAUCAAAUGAAAAUGCAGCAUGACCACAUUGGCCACUACCACUGCCAUUACUCCUUCAACUGUGCCCUUUGUUGCAAGAAAUCCUCAAGUGAAAGAUGGAUUAUAUAAUUAAAGAUUCCAAUAGAAGCAGCAAAGGUUGCCUUCCACUAGCCUAUCAGAGAAUAUGCUUUCUAUUUUCCUAGUUUUAAUCAAAAUUUUGCAAGAUUUAUUUAUGGAAAACUUGGACAAAAUUUUAUGUAAGAUACCAUAAAGCCAAACACAAUCUUUUUAAUUCUCAGCAGCAACAUUUAAAGUAAAAAGAUGGAAGCCAUAUAAAUAUAACUAUAUUUGGUACGAGGAACAAUUAUUUCAAGCUUUCAGAAAUGCUAGCAAGAAAUUGUAAGAGAACUUUACCUAGUCACAGAAUAUGUCAAGCAUACUACCACCAACUGUCUUUAGCACAAUUGUUAUGAAGUAGCCUCUGAAUCGGAAGAUUCAAGCUUCCACCAGGCACAAUUAUUUUCAUUCUCCAUACAAUCUGCAGCAGUGGCAUGAGUUAUAUCAUCAACAUUUGCAUCCUCACUCUCAUCACCCCAAUCAAGGCUUCUUCUCCACCUCUGGAUUAUAAGUCCGCUUCGACAUCUUCAAACAUCUCGGUCCUUCCAUUUGCAAACAACCGAUAUGGCUUCUUUCCUUGCCUUCCUCAUCAUUUAUAUCCCCCCAAAAAAGGGUCUUUAGACACCUCAACUUUGCCUUCUGCAAAACCUCCACAAAAUCUGAAUUAUCCAACACAACAGCUAGACGCUUGAUCCUUCUUUUGUCCAUCAUAUCCACCGCAUGAUUCCUCAACAAACAUCUGCAGCUUGUGGCUUAUCUAACACUGUCCUGACCCAAAACCCCACUCUUGUCAACUCAUCUGCCAAACCAUAACCCACUUUUGGAGUCAAAAUUGCAAAACCCCACUCUUGUCAACUCAUCUGCCAAACCAUAACCCACUUUUGGAGUCAAAAUUGUCCUUGCAGCCCUUUUAUAUUUUUCCAUCUCCAUCGAAUACUUGCCACUCAAAUGGAAUUACCAGACAGGAAUCCCAGUAACACCUCUAGCUGAUUCUACGAUUCAACCUCUUCUUUUGUUUACACUCAUGAAUUUGGAUAAAAUAAUUAACAAGUUUGUCAUUAUUAUAAAAUCUCCUUUCACAAACACCACAUAAAUAUGGCUCAGCAGGCUUAAUUACACCCUUGCUUUCCAAUUGGUUAAACAAUUUUUCUCCUCUUUGCUCUCUUACAACUUGAGGCACAUAACUAAAUGCAUGGCUAUUGGCAUAUGCCACCAUGUAUUUAACAACCCAAGUGAAGAUAUUGAUUUGAGGGUUUGUUGUCCAAAUCCCUAAAAAUUCACACAUUGCGUUGGACAGUUUUUAGUUCUACAAUUAAUGAUACGUUAUGUGAAUUAAGCUCCAAAUUAGAACAUCUAAACAAUGAGACAAAUGGGCUCUAGGUUUCUAAUCAGUAAACAUCGUUCAGUCGCAUAAUUUAUGAAAUUUUUGAAACAUCACUACAGCUACAGGUCUUUAUGUGUCAAUGAACUGCAGAAACUAAUGAUCUACUAGUAGUAGACGUUUGUUGUCCCCACCGUUCCAGGAAGAAAAAUAAGUAGAAGAACUACUUUUAGACCAAAAUUAAAAAAUUGAAACUAUCUUGAAAGACUUUCCCUUCAACUAAGUAAAAAAGAAAAGAAAAAAGGUAUUAGACAAGCAUUUUCAAAGGAAAAAGAUCAUCCAUUUAUUGUAUGUACUCAGGAAAAAUAAAUGUACUAAUAGGUAGAAACACAGCAAUAAAACUCAAAAACUAACAUCUAUAAAGCUCAAUAACAAUUAUGAAUUAGAUAUUUUGUCCCUUCAUAAUUCCUCCUCUUGACUUCACAUUUCCCCUCAGCCCGUGAUAAUUUUACCUAUUGAAUUCACAUUUCCCCUCAUCCAUUGAACUUUCCCAAUAACAAGAUGAGUCUAAAUCAUCAAUCUCAUUAAACACUCACAUCUACUAAAUAAUAUCACAUGCAGUAACUUUAAGUAAGGAUCUAAAACUUACAAGAAAAAGAAAACUACUGUUUAUUAAUUUCAAAAUUUACACAAAAUUACAAAUGAUUUUAUAAACUGUACCAAAACAUGUUCUCUAAAAGAGAUUCAUUAUCCUGCAUUUUCAAAAACAAUAUAAACUAACACUAGAAUAGCCAUUUGAUAAUGAUGUGAAUUUGGGCAGCACCAAGAAGCAGUGAGCCCCAUUUGGUGAAAGCAAAAAGAAAAAAAAUUAAAAUAAAGCACUAUAAAUUCUAAUCAAAUUAUUAACAUUAGUUACACAUCAAGAAACCAGAAUAAAAUCGUUAUCUAAACCACAUACUGAAAAAGAAAAAACAAUGCAGUUAAAAUUCUAUCAUUUUCACUUACAAACAAAUAAAGAAAAAAUUAAGAACAAAGGUUGAAGCAAAGAAUGAUUGUACCUUGAGGUACUUGAGGUUAAUGUUUCCAUAAACGAGACCGAGCGAAAAAGCCGAAACCAGAGCAACCUAUUCUUACUACUCAAAAACCCGCCCAGAUCAGAAAAUAAAUGAUCAUUCAAUAACAAUUCAUAAAAACUCCAUCCCAUCGCGAUCAUUCAAUAACAAUUAAUAAAAACUCCAUCCCAUCGCAUUUAAAACAAAACAAAGAAAAUAUUGAUUAGAAAAAAAAUUACACAUGGAAUAAAAGAAUAUAAAAAUGGAAUUACCAGAGGGAGCUAGUGCCGGAGUAGGAACCAGAAGGCAGCGCCAUAUGCUGCUCUUGUUAUGGUUUUCCUUCUUGUGGGCCUGCGCUGAAGUCGAAGAUGAAGAAACAAGAAAAAGCCAGCAAAUUGAGAAAUCGACUACCAUCUUCGAUUCCGACUCGCAUGGCCAUUUUUCUUUGAUGAAUGAAAUAUUGUUUUACUCCCUAAUUCUUAACCAAAUUACAAGUUUUGACUUCUGUUUGUAUGUUCUUUCAUACGGGUUCUUGUUCACAGGAAUAACAAAUGGGCCGGACGUGUGGCUAAGCCCGGGCCUGGUGUCGAUAGCCAGGCCUGGGCUUUUACGAGCCCAGGCAUUUAAUUCUGAACAUAAUCCUUAUAUCACUUCACUUUUGUAAUCGUAAUUUUAUUGUACUGAAAAUUAUAUAAACGAUUAAUAUGAAUUUAAUUAAACAAACAUGUCUUUACAACUCAUGCAACCUUACUAUUUUCUAAUCCUAAUAUGUGAUAUAAUUAAUUUUACUGAUAAAAUCAAAAUAAUUUUUAAACAAUGAAGAAAUAAAUUAUAAUAACAGUAAAUUUAUUAUGAAAAAGUAUGUUUACAAAAUUUAUUUUAAAUGAUAUGAAAUCUAAUAAAAAUUCUAUUCUAAUUUUAUGUCCUUUUUUACAAUUUUAUUAAAAAGUGGGAUUUCUUAAGAUUUUAGAAGGAGUGUUGGAAUUCUAUUUUUCCAGCUUUGAAUUUUAGUGGCCUCUUUAAGGCCCCAAAAAAAAAAGCACCGGUCCUCUAUUAUUUCAAAUAAGUUCAAGCCCUAUGUCAUUAUUGGUACAAAAAUGUAUUAGAAUGGUUAAAAACUAUUUUUAUUUAACUUAUAAACUUAGGAAAUUAUCAACUGUCCGCCCUUAAAUUGCAUUGUUAUAAAAAAUAUUACAACAUUUCACCUUGAAAUUGCAUUGUUAUAAAAAAUAUUACAACAUUUUUCAGGUUGUAUCAUUCAUCUACCAUAAAUUUACAAUCUGCAUCAUUUAUCCACCAAAUCAUUAACUUCGUUAAAAAGUGAUAGACGUCACAAGGGUAAUUUAGACAUUUAACACACAAAAAAAUAAAAGAGAAAUUAUCUAAGCUUACCAUGUUAUCAAAAUUGCUACAAAAUUUUAAAUUUGUUCAAUUUUCCAAUCUAAGUUUAUGACCUCCAAGAUGUUAAUUGCAGUUUGUAAUUAAUGACUUCAUAAGGAUAAUUUAGACACUCAAUAUGCAAAAUAAAAAAUAAAAUAAUGGCUUAAAACAUUAAAACAAAAAACUACUUUUUAUAAUUGAUAUUCAAUUAAAUACACAUAAACUCUAUUUUUUCUUAAUUAAAAAUAUUCUAAUUUAUUUUCUCAAUUUAUCAUCAUAAAUUUACAUUAAUAAACUAAAUCCACAAAUUACCCUAAACCCUAAUUCAUAAAUGCCCAAUCAAUCAAAUAGUUUAAUUCGAUUUCAUAAUUAAAAAAGCUAAAUUUAUUAUAUUAGUUAUGGUGCAAAGUCAAAAAUGCCCUUAAAUUCAAGGGUAAAAUAACAUUUUAUUUAAAUUCUAUAAAUUAUUCUAACAAUGUUAACAUUUUAGUGGACGGUUAAUAUAAGUUACAAACUUAAAGUAGAAAAUCAAAUAAAUUCAAAAUUUCAAACUCAAAAAUUUCAAACUAUUUAAAAAAAAUUUAGGAUAUAUGGUUAAUAAUUUUCCUUUAUCUUUUUACGUUAAAUUGAAUUUCAAAAGUAAAAUGGUCAAUUAAUAUAAUUCUAUUAAUUUUUUAAUGGAAGCAAACGAUAUAAUGGACGAAUGAUAUAAAUUGUAAAAUUAAGGUGCAUGAAUGAUACAACUUUAAAGUAUUAUAAUAAUUUUAAUAAUAGAACAAUUUAAGGGUGGAUUGGCAAUAAUUUAAACUUUAAUGAAGCAGCUAAAAAAAUUUUUUAACAAAGAAAAAUAAUUGAAUGCUUUGUGAAACCAAAAAUAAUUGAAAUGCUUUAAGAAAAAUUAAGGAAAUUAAAUAUCUUUAUAAAAACAUAAUUGAGUAAAAUCAUUUUACAAAAUGUUAUUUCAAAUGCACAUUCCACAAGCCAAGAAGAACGGGUGGCUAACAAAAAUCUCACUUUUUAUGAGUUUAUAAAAUCUCACCUUUGCAUAAUCCAAAAAUAACAAAUACUAAUCACACAAAAAAUAAAAAUUAUUGCUGUCACGACAGUACACACUUUCUUCGCCGGUCCUCAAUACAAAAUGCGUGCUACAACUAAAUUGGCCCAAUUAAUGCCCAUCGAAAAGGCCAUCAACAAUUUUGUCAAAAUUUCAACAAUUGAAGAAAUCUUGAGAUACAUAAAACAAAGUCUUGAAACAAAUAUUAACAAUCCAUCUGCAGAGGAAGUAUGGAACAAAGCUUAUUAUUAGCUUCUUGUGUGAACUGAACACGCUGAACAAAGCAUUUUUUUUUUGGAUUUUUGGAAUUUUUUAAAGUCAUUUAUGUUCGCUGUCAUCUUUUUCUUCGCUGGCGUCUUCAUUGGCAUCUUCCUCGUCUGUAGUUUGCUGUGUCUAUAUAUCCAACCAAUAAAUUGGGCAUUAAAUACGAAUGAAUGAUGAAUAAAAUGAUAAAAAAAAAAAACAAACAGAGAAAAUUAUAAUAUAACACAUAUAUAUAUUGAAAGAGAAAUUUUGAUUUUAGGAUAGAUCAAUUAGCUAUCACAAACGAAAACAUGAACCAACUAUGUAUAGAGUCAAUUAACUAAAAGUUCUCAAGAAUUACCUCUGGUCCAGAAUUCUCGGAAUCAUCUUCUCCUUCUGAACUUGGACGAAACUUGGGACAAUUACGAACAACUUCAUCGUAUUUAGAAGAUGGAAAUGGGAUCUGAUAACCCGCAGGCCAAAAGUUGGUGAGGUUUGGUAAAUCUCUCAGUUCCAAGCUUCGAAGUUCAUUCAUAACAAUUUCAUUGUAAUCCGUGACGUCUGCUCCAUCUUUAUGCCAGAAUACUUCUUCUAAUUCAUCAUUAGCUGUUAUGCAUAGGUACUUCAGUUUUUGAAGACUUGGAGCUACGCUGAUAUGAAAUAGAUGCUUUAGUUUGGGGCACCAACAGACAUAAAUGCUUGUGAGUUUUGGGAAACAUACAGGUUGGAGAUGAUCCUCAUCCUCAUCCUCAUCAAUGAUUUGCUCUAAUCCCCGACAAUUCCAAAUAGAUAACUCCUCCAAUUGCAGCAGAUUUCGAGCAAGUGUUGAUGAGAAGAGACGUCUCAGCAUAGUGCACCCGUUUACAGUUAAUUCGGUAAGACUUUGCAGGCUAAAAUUAUGCGUGGGACCUUCAUGAUAUAAUAAUACUUGCAGUUCUCGAAGGUUUUCCAACUGCACCUCCUUCAAACAUGGGAAUAGUUUGUUUUCUUCUCCUUCAGCGAUAAUAGCUUCCAAUUGAAAUACCACCUGUACUCCCAGUCGUCUAAUACGCAAUUCUUCCAAAUUUUUUAAUCCGUGCUUCAACAGUGCUGGAAUCGUGUCACUCAAAUGGGAACAACUUUCCACAUAUAGACUUCGUAAUUUCUGAGACAAAUAAAUAAAUAACUUGAUGCAAUUAAAAUCUAUUAGCAGCUAGGAUUAUCACAUGAUAAGUGAUGAACACCGCAAAAAUAUCAUAAUACAUAUGUAAACUAAUAAAAUAAUUAAAAAGUAAUGGAUUCUUAAAAAAAAUUGAAAUUAGUUAAAAGAGAUCAUGUGAAGUGAUAUAAAUGUGACAUUAGAUUGUUUUAGAAAAAUUAUUAUUCUAUUAAUUUAUAUGGCUUGAUCAACUAUUUAAUUGAAUUUGAAUAACAUUAUAUACACUUAAGAAGUAUUUGCAUCAAUUCUUUCUAAACCAAAAUGAAAUAUGACUUUCAUUUGAAGAAUGGUUUUAGGCCCUAUAAUAAAGAAAUUUUCUUAAGAUAUCUGAGCAUUACUAUUAUCAUCACCACAUCCACCACCACCAUCAUCAUCUCCAUAGGAUCAAAUAAUUAAUGGCUGAUCAUAAAAUUUAUUGCUAAACUAUCAUUUUGAGUAAAAUUGAAUGAAAAGAAAAAAACAUGAACCCAAACAAACAUACCUCUUCAAGAUACUGCAAAUUGGCUUCAAGUUCAGUACUGUUGACAGUCAAGUUGGGACAGUCCUUAAGGCGUAUCUUUUCCAAUGCUGGCCAAAUUGAACAAUAAUUUUUUGAACAGAAGCUGACGAGUUCUGAGAGAUUUCGAAGUGUUAAUUCUCUUAACAAAGGGAGGGCGAGCAUCGUAUUUCCAUCUCCGACACUUAUUUCCCCUUCAUUAUGAUCAAACUUUGCUUCGACAAUAUAUUCCAGUCUCUCGCAUCCACUUACAUUGAGACUUUUAAGCUGCUCCAAACUUCUAGCUUGUGAUAACGUGAAGAUAUAUGUCAACUUGUUGCACAUAUGCACAUUCAAUUCUGUAAGAGUUUGGAGACUGAUCACAUGUUGGGCCGGCGCCUUCCAUAUCCACUUCAGUUCUGGUAAGUCCCACAUAGAUAACUCUGCUAAUCUUGAGAGACUCUUUCCAUGCGGCGACUUAGAGGCUUCCAUUAUGCAUUCUAAAUCUUCGCAAUCGCGGACAUCAAGACAAGUUAACUCAUUGAAGCCCCUUUCAUCUAUGCUUGGCACAAUAUUGUCACAACCUAUUAACCCACUCAAACGAAGAAAUUUCAGAUUUUGAUACAAUGCUGAAAAAAUAACGAGCGAGGUCGCCGCUUCAUGAGGGCAAUUCUCAAUGAUUAAGCUCCUUGUUUCAUCAUUCUUAAUGAUUAAGCUCCUUGUUUCAUCACCAUCUCCUUUACCUUUACAGAUGAUGUAUCUUUGCAAUUUCGGGAAUGUAAAGUGUUUUGGAAGACAUACAACAGAUCUGUCGGCUUGGGAGUUCAACUCAGCAAGCCUAGCAUUACUUUCUUCUGAACUCAUCCCUUCAACCUCCCAAUUUUUUAUCCGACCAUAAAAUUCUUCCAAUUGAGGAAAUUUUUUUAUCGUAAUGGGAGAAAUGGAGCCAGUAGCAAUAUACAGAAGUUUCAAUCUACGAUGUUCAUCCGACAAUUCUUCAAGAAUUUUAAUGGAAGACUUCUCGAGGAAAAGAAGUUCAAGCCUCUUCAACUUUCCAAGGAAAGACGCGUCACUCACCUCACAUCGAAUCAACUGCAGAACCUGGAGGUCGGUGAGGAUCUGAAGCGAUUUAAGUGAAAGAACUCCACCUAUUAUAGUGACAACUUUCAAUGCUGGCAUCCUUUCAAAAAAUUGUUCUGGAACUUGCAAUCGGUGGUCGUAUUCAGGAUUCUCCAAUCGCAAAAUAUGAAGGUUAGGGCAUGCCAAACCACUAGGAAGCUCUUCUUCUUUUUUAUUUCCCACCAAAGAGAUUCCUCUGUAUUGUUCCAGGCCUUCUUUCAUUACCCGUUCUGCCAAUCCAAUGCCAACUUUACUAAAAAAUUUCUUCUCCUCUAGAACUAUUGAGCCUAUCCAUAUGGCUACAUCACGAACUAUGUCAUGCAUUUUCACAGAUCUGUCAUUACCAGUGUCUAACAGCAGUGACGCAGCUUUGAGCGCGUUAAUUGUUCCAUGCAGUCGGCUUCUGGCAUUUUCUAUUGACGGAGCACAUUGAUACCAAAUAACCCCCACUGCGUAUCCAACCAAAUCCUCCAAAUAAAUCUCAUAAUCUUCUGGAAACAGAGAACACAACAAGAAGCAUAACUUGGACUCCUCACUAUUUAAAUUGUCGUAACUGAAUUUAAGACAACCGUAAACGUCUUGGUCAUCCUUGUCAAUACCUUCUAUUGCAUAGAGUUUUGCUUCCUUUAGGUUAUUUAGUGCUAGUUUCCAUUCAUCAGAUCCUUUUUCUCUUAGUGCACUUCCAACAGCUUCAAUAGCUAAAGGCAGCCCCUUACAUUCGUCGGCAACUUGUUUUGAAACACCAUCCAAGGAGGAGUCGUUUACAUUAAUACCGGCAUUCUUUUUUAGGAGAGUCAAUCCUUCUUCUGGUGUUAGUGUACCAAGUUCAAUCUGUGGGUAACAACCGAAAAAACCACAAAUUGACGUUUUGCGAGUGGUUAGAAGGAUUUUGCAACAAUUGUCUCUAUCACCAAUGGGAAUACCUAAUUUUUUCUCCAAGUCGAGUUGUUUCCAAACAUCAUCAAGGAUUAUGAGGAUUUUGCUGCCUUUACUCUCAGAAAACAUCAACCGCAAUCGAUCUGCUCUCUCUUUUUCAUCUGUCUCAUUUAACGCCCAGCCUAACGACUUUACCAGCUCACCUUGAACCUUUAUUAUAUCUGGAUCCUGAGACACAGUGACUAUCCCCACCUUAUCGAAAUCCUUUUGUUGCCGAAGUUGAUUGCCCACAAAUUUUGCCAGGGUUGUCUUUCCUACGCCACCGAGACCAUGCAAUCCCACCAUCUUUAUGCUCGCUUUUUUCAGGGCGUCAAUGAUCUGAUUGCGAGCUGAUUCUGUGGUCUCGAAGGUAGAAGAAAAAUAACUUGGUAAACUUAAUUCUCUCUCUAAUGUUAGAGGUUUAGGACGGGCAACUGUGCUGAAUUUGCUGCGGUCUUGUAGCAGAUCGGACAACUUGCUAGUCUUCUUUGAAGCUUUUCUACCCAGCCAGUAUCGCCAACCCCAAUUAGGACACCAUCCAUUAAGACAACUCUUCUUUUCAUCUAUCUUUGCUUUCAAAUUUCGAACGUCGGCCAUUUCUUUGUCUACAUCCUCGAGCCAUGUCUCGACAUCUUUCUCGACUACUAUAGCACGGUGUAUUUGUCGUUCUUGUUCUACUCUUUCAUUGAUGCCAUCUUUUUCCUUCUUCAAAUUGGUUUCUUUAUCCUUAAGUUCUUUAUCUAUGCUGUUGAAACAGAGCAGAUAGCGAGCUUGGUUUAUGGUUGCAUCCGCCAAUAAUUCUCCAAGCUUUGAUGCAACACCUGAUAAAAUUUCCAUGCUAUUUAUCUGCAAUUAACAAGUUGAUCUCAGUAUGCUAUAAGCAAAACAUCAAGGCUUGAUCACAAGAUCGAACGAGAAUAUUUAAUUGCUUUAAUUUUCUUGUCAUUGAAACGAUGUCUCAUACCUUCUUCCGUUUAUAUCUUCAAUUACUGCUGAAAGCUCUGGCUAGAGAGUCGCACAAGCUCGGAGAAAAUUAAAAGCUGCAUCUAGCAAUAUAAAUAAACAUGAGAUCAAAACAACAUAGGAUAUAUCUAGCUAAUUAACAUCAUAUAUAACUCCUUGUUCUCAGUCAAAUCUUUCAUUCUUAGGAGAUUAAAAAAAAAUUGAAAUAAUAACUGUUCAGUGACAUAGGAUUAGGAAGCAAAAGUAACAUACCAAAACGAGAGCAGCUAGCUCACAGAUCUGGUGACUUCCAAGAGCAUGAAAAAUGAUUGAGGUUUAAUAGCAAGGUCCGGGUCAUGUUUCAUAAGUUGCUAUUGACUUCGUGGCUUCGCUUUUAUUUAUUAUUAUUGUUUUUUUAAAUUCUAUAUCAGUGAGAAUUGAAAUGUGGAAAGUGAAAUGAUACACAUGCUUUAUCAUCUAUCAUGAGGGGUGAUUUGGUAAAACCGAUUUAAAAUAAAAAAGUUUAAAAAGAUGCUUUGUGUCUGACUGCUUGUAUUUGGGAUAUUUUUUGGGUUGUUGAGAGUGAGUUUAAUUAAAUAUAAGAUUUUUAUUUUUUUUAUAUAUUUCUUUUUAGAAUGAAUUUAAAUAUUAGUCUUGUUAAAUUCUUUCUUUUUAAAUGAAAGUAGAUUUUUCUGUAUAAAUUUUAGGUGUAUUUUAUAAUUAAUGUUCAACGAAUCUCUAGGUUAUAUUAUAAAUAUUUUUAUUUAAAAUCUCAACAGAUGUCAUAACACACAAAGAAAAAUACAUAUAUAUAUAUUGUAAUGUUUUAAUGAUAAAUCUAUAAAGUUAUUAAGUUAAAAAAUAAAUAAAUAAAUAAAUAAAUACAUAUUUUAAUGUACUCUUACCAUUUUGGAUUGCAAUAAAGUGAAAAAUGGGUUAAUUUCAAAAAAGAAAAGGUGACAGUGAGUUGUCAAUUUCAUCCUUGUCGGCCAAUAAUACAUCAACCUUUUGCUGAAUUAUUAUCACCGACAAAAACAAAUUAUUGAAUCGGGUCCCGCUGACAGACAGCUUAUGUAAAGUUACAUUCAUAAUAAAUUGAUACUUGUCUUUAUUAUAAAUUGUUCUUUUAUUUAAAUAUGCGUUCAUUUCUUCAAUUAAGUCCUCAUAUUCGUUCAAUUUAUGAUAAGAUCCUUGUAUAGGAGCAUAUCUGCAUAUGUAAUAAUUAUUCUUCUAUUUCAGAUAGUUUUUGUGAAAAAAAGACUUUUAUCAAUUAUUUAUGUUGACUAAUUCUUAUGUCUUUUUUUAUUACUUUUCAUAGCUCUAUAUAAAUGUUUGCUAUAGAAUUUGUGUUAUUUUGCUAUAAUAUAAUUUAUAUUGUAAACCUCUGUUCAUCUGUAAAUAAAAUGACAAUUUUUUUUGUUUACUCCUAAAAAAUAUGAAAAUAUUAAUUUACUCUCAUAUUUAUUUAGAAGACAAUGGCAAAUAAGGUCGCAUUGAUAAUUUUUUUAUUUACUUAUUAAUUAAUUAGAGUAAAUUAAUAUUUUCAUAAUGAGAGAUACAUUGAAGAUUGUCAUUCUUAGUAGAGGGUAAAUUAAAGUUUAUCUAAUUAAUUUAAAAUAUCAUUAAAAUUUAAAAUUCUAAUCUGGAUUAGAUUUUCNNNNNNNNNNNNNNNNNNNNNNNNNNNNNNNNNNNNNNNNNNNNNNNNGGGGGGGGGGGGGAACGUCCUUAUUCGGAUUAGACUCAGCUGGAAGAGGCACAUCCUUAGCUGGAUCAAUUUGUUCAAGAUUGGAUGCAUCCAUCGGUUUCAAAUUUGUCUCUUGUAAGUAUCAUCGGAUUUCUUUACUAAAAUUUAGAUUAUCAAUCACAUCUAAAACUUAUUGAAUGAUACAUUUCAUUUCUAUAAAAUUGAGUUACUAUUACCACCUCAAAUCUUAUAAAUUCUAGAAAAUAAUCAAGGCUUGACAUACUUUUAUUUAUGCAAAAGCAUAAGAAAAUAAUUCAAAGUACUAAUUAGUGCACUAUUACUCAAAAUUCUAGAAUAGAUUUGCUAGUUCUCUUUAGCCAUAGAUUGGUCCAUGAUUGGCACCGCAAUAGCUCAGAAUCACCUCAACGAUUGUUCCACACAGCCCAACAUGACACACUGUAAACUAGUCUAACAUGAACUUUCUGAGUGGCUUUCUAACAAUAGUCUUAGAGAAAGUGUUUAGUAGUAUGAAGUCUUCUUUUUUUAACAUAAAUGUUGGCAUGAUAUUCUUAAUAUAUUUCUAAAAUCAAAAUAAGAUGCAUAGAGGACGAUGAUAAUUUUAUUUCAUAAUUGAAUUUUUUGCAAAGAAAGUUUGAACAUGAGAGUGAUGAGAGAUGAGAAUAUUGAUGAUGGUGUGUACUUUAGAUGGAAAAAUAGAUUGGAAAUAUAUAUAGACAUAUUAAAAGAAAAAAAUUUGGUCUAUUUCUUAAAAGAAACAAAAAAUUAUAAACGCGGGUGUUAAAAUGUAUUCAGAAUUUAUAAAUUUUUAUAAAUAUGAUAAUCAUUAGACCCUUAUAAAAGUAUAGCAAAAAGUUUAAAAUUUUUUAAUAAAUGUCGAAGAGAUGGACGAAGAAACCAUCCACCAGUUCAGAAUUAAUAAUCAAAGAUAUGAGGACUUGAUUGAAGAAAUGGUGAAAAAUAAAAGGACACUGGGUUGCUAUCAAUUUCUACCGUGUAGGUUCAUAGCCGGGGAAAUAAUUGGGCACAAAUAUCUCGGAUGAGAAAUAACCAUUUUAUCCCGCAACCAUAUGUUUAUGGCCUCUAAAAAUUUUCACCUCUUUCACAAUCUGGAACCCGUGCUUACUGGCACAUGCACAAUACUUGGUUGCUACUUAUAGAGCGUUUUUAGAAUUGCAACGACAUGGUGCUCUUUGAUAAUUCAAAAAUCCAAUAUAAUUUAUAGAGAAUUACAGAAUUGUUUGUGGUACGUGAUAAUUUGCUGAUGCAAUGAGGCGCCGAAAUUCUUAUACAUGUGAUUUAAGUUAUAUAUGUAUAAUUAAGUAAUUAGAAUAUACUAGUUGGGGGUAUUUGUGUCCAUGAAAAUUUACAAAAAAGUUUAAAAUACUAGUUGGGGGUAUUUGUGUCCAUUUUAAUUAGAAAAAAAUGCUGUUUCUGAUGAAAUAAAUGAAAAUUGAACGUACAAUCUGCCACGAACACUAUUUAAUUAACCGUUUAUUUCCCCUUAAAUUUUUAAUCUCAAUGAAACAUAGAUCUAAUGGGAACUACAUAUAUAUAAAAAUACUAUAGAUUGAAGAAGUUGAAUUUUUCUUGUGUGUUGAGUAUUUUUAGUUAAUACGAAAGGAUUCUAGCAAGUUAAUACAAAAGUAUAUCAUAAAUUCAUUGUAGUACAAGAGAUUUUUUUUUUCCUUUGAUGUUAAUAGUUUUCGAGAUAAAAAAAAAUUAGGUGAAAGAAGAAGAUGAGAGAAGAAAAAAUGUUAAGAAUAGUUUUGGCAUUUUGAUGCGUUUUAUAGUGUAAAAUCUAUAUUUUAUAGUAUAAAGUGGUACACCCAAAAUUUAAUGAUAAAAUUUUAGGAAAAAAUUGCACUCGUCAAAAAAAAAAAAAGGCUCAACUUAGCCCAAAAUUUUUUUAUUAAUCGUCUAGUCGCUAAUGUAAUCUCCUUUUUAUGAGAUUCUUUGGCGUUUUAAUUUAGUCCAUUGUUAGCAAUCCUAAUAGCUUUUAUGUGCAUCUAUUUUUAUUUGAAAUAUGUUUCAAGCUUGAAUAAAAUCUGCGGGACAACUGGUAAGUAAUAAAGCUCAUCAUUUUUUUAUUUUGAAAAUAAAGGGAAUCACUUACACUUAGCAUAAUAAAUUACACUUAGCAUAAUCACUUACACUUACACUUACACUAUUCAAUUACCCUUUUUUUUUUUUGAACUUUUGAGUUGUUGUUUAAUUUGUAUUAUAAUUAAUUAUCAUGGGCCCACGUGCCAUUGUUUCCAUUUCAAGUUUCAUAAUUUAUCAGUAGAAAUGGAUUCCACAGACAAUUUAUUUUAUAAUUUUUUAAAAAAUUACCAAAAUAUAAUAAAUAAGGUAAUAAUAAUUAAUAAAAAAGUAGAUUUUAAGAUGGAAAAAUCUUUUUGUGUACUUAAUAAAAAGAUGAUAAGAAUGGGAUGCUUUUGGUUAAUUGGUUUACAUUCUCAUAUCUAUUUAUACUGAAAAAUUACAUCAAAAUUUAAUUAAUAAAUCAGUGAACUGCAGACUUAUUAAAUUUAAGCUAUUUUAAUAAGUCAUAAAUAUACUAAAUUAAAAUAGUAAUAAACCCAUUGUUACACAAUACUCUCUAUUAUAGCUGUCUCAUGGAAAGCCUUCACCAAUAAAAAGGAGGAUAGAGCACAUACAUCCAGUUUUUAUACCCUUUGAUGCUCAGUCGACACGUGCCAAUGCUAUAGACUAGCUUAUAAUCUACUAAGGUGACGCAUGCCAAUGCUAUAGACUAGCUUUUCAAAGGUUGAAGUGGGUGUACAUUUAGUAAAAAGACCUGCACAAUUAUAGUGUAUCUAUUUGACAUCAACUUUUUUUAUCUGCUGGAGCUUAUGAUUAUAGAAGAUCUUCGGUAAGAUGUGUUUGAUUUUAGAAAAUCUCCUUUUAUAUAUCCUCCUCUAACUUGUGUAAUAGUAGUAAACCCCUGCCCCCUUUUUAUGUCGUUUAGUAUUUUCUAAAUGGCCGAAGGAAAAUUGGUAAAAACUCAUUUAAAAAUAAAAAUAAAAAUCAAAGAAAUUCAAGAAGAAGCUUUGUAUCGGCCAUUUGUAUUUGGGGUAUUUUUUUGGUUGUUAAGUGAAUGAGCUUAAAUCUAAAACAUUUAUUUAUAUAUUUCUUGUUGGAAAAAAUUUAAAAUUUAUUCUUAUUAGACUUAUUCUCUUUAAAUAAAGGUAGAUUUUUCUCUAUGUGUUUAACGUGUAUUUUAAAAUUAAUGUUCAACAUAUCUUUAGAUUCUAUUAUAAAUAUUCAUAUCUAAAAUCUCAACAUAUUUCAUAAUAUAUAAAUAUAUAUAAAGAGAGAGAAUAACGACUAUAUAUAUAUAUAGAGAGAGAGAGAGAAAUGUUUGCGGGAAAUAGUUUUAAAGGUUUAAACUGUAAGCUUUGAAAGCCGUGAAGUUUUAAAAGUUUCCCGAAUUUUCCCACACUUUAAAAUUACUGACCGGAAAACUAUUAUAUAUAUAUAUAGUUUUUUUAAAAAUAGACAAUUUAUGAGUUAAACAACGGACAUUUUUGUCGGCCAAUACAUCAACUUUUUAGCUGGAUUAUUACCACCAUCAAAACUAAAUUAUUGCAAGCACUAGCAAAAAGCAAUCAAUGAUUUCGCAAUUUGGCUGUCAAAAAGCAAACUAGAUCACGAUUCCUCAAUUAAAAAUGGUGCUUUUUUUUAUUAAAUAAGUGAAAAUUAAACCAACAAUUCAAAAUAUAGGAUUGUAGAUGCGUAUAAACUGAAGAAUAAACUGAAGAAGGUAAAAUUUUUCGCGUGUGUAAAUAUUUUAGUUAACAUGAAAGAAUUCUAACAAAGUUAAUAUAAGAGUAUCAUAGCAGUACAAGAGUAAAUAUAUAUAUGUGUGUGUGAGUGAAGGAAGAAAAAAAAAUUAAGAAUAAUUUUGGCAUUUUGAUGGGUUUUAUAGAGUAAAAUCUAUAUGUUCAAAUAUGAUAAUUCUUUAAUUUAAUUUGGUGUUAUGAAAUAAAGGGCAUUUUAAAUAUGUUUUAAGUUAUAAAUAACUCCAUCCAAAAUUUAAAAAUGAAAUCUUAGGGGGUAAACAAUUUCACCCGAACUAACAAAAGCCCUAGCCCGGAGGCCCAGAGUAGCCGCGGCUUUUUUCACCAAUCUAAUUAUUUACGAGGAAUAUGAGACUGAGAUUCUCUACCACUCCAAUUUAUCGCAUUGUUAGCAAUCCUAAUAGCUGUUAUAUAUCCUAUUUUUAUUAAAAAAUGUGGAUCCGAAUAUAGAAAUUUGGGAUCCGCACAAAUCUAGAUGCAAGUGCAUUCGGAAAACCAGAUAUCGAGAUCCGAAUAAAUUUUAUUUUAAAUUAAAAAUUAAAUGAAAAAUUAAGAAAGUAAAUUUUAUUUAUGGAUUAAUGAUGUCGUUGUAUAUUAUUCAUGUUGAAUUAUCAAUUGUUGGAUUAUGAUUGAAUUUUAUUUGAUAUUAUUGGGCAAAUUAUUGAAUUUUAUUUUAAAUUAAAUAAAAAUAAAAAAUUAAAUUUUAUUUGUAGAUUUAUGAGAUUAUUGUAUGUUAUUCAUUUUGGAUUGUUAAUUGUUGAAUUAUGAUUAAAUUUUAUUUGAUAUUAUUAGGUAAAUUAUUAAACUUUUAAAUUAUAUAUUAAAUUAUUUAAUUUUAAUUUUUGCGGAUCUGAAUAUUCAGAAUAUCCACCUGCAUCGGUUACGGAUAAUACCCGCAUCUGGAUCCACAUCUUUUUCUACGAAUCCAAAUAUAGAAAUAUGAAUGCGGAUCUAAAUUCGGAUUUUGCUGACCCUAAACCUAAGAAUGAAUGUGCCUAAAGUUUUUACAACGAACAUGGAUCAUUCAAUGACAUGACAUGUUUUGCAGCUUUCAUUAGUAUAAUUGAAUAAUUAAUUCAUCUCUAUAUUCAGCUUACACCGUCUCAAAUUACAUGCAAAUACGAAAGUACACUUCUGAAUCGUUCACUUGAGGAAAAUUAAUUUUAACUCAAUAAGUCGUAAUUCUCCACGUAGAAUUUUAAUUCAAACCAUAGCAAAUUAGACAUAAUUCUAAUUUAUAUGGGAAAUAUAAUUAGCGAAGACACUCUUUAUAUAAACAUUAUUGUCAUAGGAUGCCAAACCUAAUAAGAUUCAAGGUCUUAACAUACUUCAUAUGAAAUUUGAUCUUGGCGCGUACCGACACGCAUAACAUCAAGACUCUACUUCAUAUAUUAUAAUGUAACUUCAUGGAUUUUUCGCUCUCUUGUGAAAUUGACAAUUAUAGGCGCUGUGUGGCAGUGGUACAUAAUAAAAUAAACGUUUAUUUUUAGAAUAUUAUUAUUUAUCUCAAUUUUUUAUUUAAUAGUUAAUUUUAAUCAAUUCUUAAACUGUCAUAAUCAAUUAAUUUUUUACAUUAUGGCAUCUUAAAUAAAUUUUGGAUCUGUAAUAAAUAAAAACUGGUAACGUUUGUUCUUUUAAAGCAUAAAACAACCGUAACAUUGGUUUUUACAUUUUGAAUUUUUCUUGCAUCACUAUUUAGAAAAAUGAUGUUAAAUCAACUCACAAAAUAUAUCAAGCCAUCUAAAAUCCAAAUAUUAUUACAUUUGUAUUUGCAUUGUUAAAUUGUUGGAACGACGGCAAAGCAAUUGAAAAGAUAUUAACAAAAAAGUAAAGAUUGGCCAAGGAUUAUUCAUGUUUAGGAAAUGCCUUAACUUUUGAUAUAAUCAUUGUUAUAAUUAUAUUGUAGAAAUAAUCAAUUACCUAAUGUUUGUGGUGGUAAAAAUUAUUAACUUGUUUUAGUAUACCCGUGUUUAUGGUGGUCUCCUUUUUGUCCAAUUCUGUACAACAAAAUAUUUGCAUGUUUUGAUAGAAAUUGGUUUAAAUGACAUUUGAAAUAGUAUAUCCCCAAACAAUUAACGAAAUAUUUGGAUGGUAGGAUGAAGUAAUAUAGUUUUACAAAUUACCAUAUUAGAGGUUAAAAAAAAUCAAGAGGUUACUAACUACAAAUUUUAACACAAAAAGUUUAAUUAACUUUUCUUUUUGAGAUAACAAAAUCUCUGGUGUUGAAAACAAUGAGGUUUGAGGUUCAAGCUUGAAUAUCAAGUUACAAUUAGUAGAUGGUCUUAGGACAAAUCAAAGAUUUCUUUAAAGACAAAAUAAUAAUUACAAGCAAUAGGAAUUUAUGGUAUUCAGAACAUGUAACCUUCGCACAUGAAGCUUGAAUCCAGAACAAGAAUCACAAGAUGCAGCUAGCCAAUCCUUCCAACUUCCAAAACCCCACAAAAUCUCUGUCAACAUGUCUGCUCUACUUCAAUAUUAAGCACAUUCAUAGCGGUAUCAACAGCUUACAGCUCCAAAAUAUUUUCCCCAAAAAGAGUGAGAGAUUUCACUGAAGCUAAGUUGUGACUUGUGACUUGUGAGGCCAUCUUUUUUUAUAGUAAUCGUACGCCUCUAAUGCUUUGCCAAGUGUCCAUUGAUAAUAUCACAAGGGCAAUUAAAUUGGUGUAUGUGUAUUACACCUCCUAAAGUCAUGUUAAGAUAGUUAGUGAGCCGAUAAAGUUUGUUGCACGUGUGAGUUGGUUAAGUCUGCUAGAAUUGUAAACAUGUAAAGCUGAGUCAGCAAGUUAGUUAAGGUUAUUAUGAAUGCUUAGAUUCAGCUAGUUAGUUAAGGUUAUUAUGAAUGCUUAGAUUCAGCAAGUUAUGGUGUUGAAAAUGCUGUUGGUGAAAGCUCAGCUGAUAGAUGUCAGGAGAAUCCAGCCUUUGUUGCUUGGAAAAGGUAGGAUCAAUUGUUAUUAAGUUGGCUCAUGUCCUCCAUCAGUGUUGAGAUACUUAGUCUUGUGGUAAAUUCUGAUUCUUCUCAUAAACUUUGGACUAAUCUUGAAGAAAAUUUUUGGAUUAGAAACUAUGGCUAAGAAAGCACACUUAAAAAUGAUGUUAAGCAAUCUCAGAAAGGGAUCAAUGACAAUAACUGAGUAUUUUGCCAAACUUAGAGCUGUAACUAAUAAACUUGCUCUAACUGGUAGCCCUGUUUCUACUCUAGACUUUAUUACUCAUCUAAUCUCUAGAUUAGGCCAGCCAUACUACCCUGUUGUUUUGUAUAUUGAAGCUAAUAUGAUGAAAAUAUUUGUCAAUGAAGCCUACUCUAUGCUUUUAACUCAUGAAGCAAGAAUUAAAUUUAAUCAUCCGAGUGCAAAUAAAGAAGCAAAGUUGAAUUAUGCUGCUAACAUAGCUUAGGCUGGACCUAGUAAUAACAAUAAGAAGUCUAGUAAUCAAGCUAAUUACUAUCAGGGCAACCAAGGUAACUGGAAUAGAAAUGCUAAUUGGUGUGGUAACAAUGGAGGAAGAGGUGGCUUUGGCAGAGGUUUUUCAGGGCAAGGAAGGAGUAAUUAGAAUAAUGGUGGUCAUUGGAACAAUGGACCUUGGAGUAGUAGUCGAGCAGGUUAUAAUUGUUCUGAUAUAAACAUUAUGACAUGGUUGUUGGUGAACCUGUAAACAUAACCACAAAAGUAAGAAGACAUAAUCUUUUUAUAAGAAACUCAAAAAUGUAUUAAUGAUGAAAAUUUUAAAACAGAUAGUGGACCAGCUGUUCACUAAGAAAACAAAAAAUUGAAUAUUAGUGCUAUAAAAAGGCACACCCAAUCUCACCCCUAUAAAAGGCUAGAAUCAGCUACAAAUCCCUAUCUCAAAACCCCAUCCCAGUUUUAGAUGAAUGAAGAAAAAAGAUGAAUCUUGAAACUCCUUAGAAACUGAAGCCCAAAGUGAAGCAAGAAGAUGAACUCUAUCCCAAGCAAGCAAUAUGGCAUAUUUCUCCAUUAAUGGUUCAAAUAAAGUGAAUGGCUUUCUCUGAUGAAUGGGAAUUGUCAAGAUCAAUAGUCAAACUCACGCAAAGUAAACGGACUUAAUUCUCAGAGGCUACUCAUUCUAAGUCUUAAGUCUUAAAGAAAAUUUUUCUAAUUUCUAAAGAUUAUAUGGGGAAAAAUCAUUAUUUUCUAACAUGGAAAAUUUGAUACGGUGUUUAAUGUCCGAUCACAAUCAUAAUAUGAGUACUAACAAAAACAUCUUUAAUCGGCAUGGUGCGAGUAAAACACCAUCACUUCAUCUUUGAUGGAAAGAUGAUAAUAUAAGGAGAUGGUGAAAUGGUUUUAGUCCCUGGUAGCUUGUAAUUAAAAGAAAACAAAAAACUACACUAUUAUUAAUGAUUACCGAAGCUACAGAAGUAUCAAAAUCGGAAAGCAAACAAUUGCAAAACACAUCAAUGACUGGAGGUUAGGUUCUAAAACUUCCGCAUUUAAUUUUCAGAGCAUGUUAUGUAUUAUUCAAAAAUAUGCUUUCACUUCAGGCACUUGACCAAGACGCAUUAAACAUAAAACGCGGCGUUUUCAUGGACUAGUACAUUCCAUGCUUCGAAAGUUUAUGUUUUAGACUGAUUGGUUUGAUACAUUAUUUGUUUAUUGCGUUUUUCUUGCUUUAAAUAUUAUGUUGGAUUGAUAAGUUUUGUACACAUUUUAUAUUGCUCGCACUAAAUAAUUUAUGACAUUUAAAAAACUAUCAACCGUCUAUCAAAAGAUUUCUACUAUAAAUAUAUAUACACAAAAAACUUUUAAUUUGGUCAAUUUGUUCUCUUAUUUAUUUUUGUUCUAUUUCUCUUUUCCUUUCCUUUCAUUUUAUUGUUUUACGGUACAAAAUAAAAAAAAUAACCUUAAAAUUUAAGAGUAAAAUACUCAUUUUACUAAAAUUCCAUUUAAUAUUAUAAAGCUGUCAAAUGUCAAUGGCGUAGAACACGAGUGAUACAAAUUAAAAACAAUAAAUUGAAAGUUUUUAUGCAUUUUCCUUUUAUUUUUUUUUAUAGUCGAUUGAGAUUUCCCUUUAUAUUUUUAAAUUCAAUAGGUUUAGACCGUUUAAAAAAUCUUAAAUUAAAAAAACCCGCAGUGUAAUAACAAACUCACAUCAAACCCUGUACACUGUCAUCCCUAAUUAUAUUUACCACUUCAUACUCACAGUGAUAAUAACUGUGUAUCACAAUUGAUUUUGCAUACGGGUAAAAGUUCCAAGUCCGGAUAUUUAGUUAAUGAAAUUUGAUGAAAAGGGCAUGAAAGAAAAUAAGAAAUUAAAUAAUACAGGAGGAAUUAAUCAUUACAUCUUUAGUUAAUGAAAAUUGAUGAAAAUAUUUCUGCAGACGUGAGCCGUAAUUAUAUUACCGCUAAGAAUGAAGCAGAAGAGUUUCCCCAAACAAGCUAAAACACAGCACUUUAAUUUAAAGAAUUUUUAUAUCACAGUACCGGUGCAAAAAGUUUAAUGCAACAACAUACAUUAAGUUAAUUCCAUAAUCUAUCCCCAAAGAAAGACAAACACAAGCUUAUAAGAUUAAAACUUUGGAAAACAUUAAAGAGUGAGACAAAAUUGUGUAAUCUUCAGAGUUUGGAGCCUAGUUCAUCCAGGAAAGCAAAAGAAAUAAUAAUAAUAAUAAUAGUGGUGGUUUGAUCUCAAAAGGUGGCAUCAAAGUGGUAACUUUGAGGUAUUGGAAGCAAUAACGUCUUCAACUUUGUCCUGAUUUCAAAGUCCCUUAAACCCAUCCGCCAUCAAUGGAUUGAAUGCUUCCAUUCAACCCAUCAUCCACAAAAUCACCAACCCGUUUCACCUUCAUCUCCUUGGGCUUAACAGGGUACUUUCCAGAGAAGCAAGCAAAACAAAAAUUCCGAGAAUCAUCGCCUAACAACUAGUUCAAGCUGUCAAUCGGCAGAAAAGCAAGCGAAUCACACCCAAUAAACUCCCUGAUUUCCUCAACGCUCAUCCUGUUGGAAAUAAACUCCUCAGUACUUGUCUACUCCGUAGUAACAAGAAGCUAUGAUUGGUGGGCUUGCAAUUCUCAUGUGAACCUCUUUAGCUCCAGCCUCCUUAAGCAACCUAACAAUUUUUGAUGAAGUUGUUUCUCACACUAUCGAAUCAUCCACAACCACAACUCUCUUUCCCUCCAACCACAACCUUACAGGAGAGAGCUUAAGCUUGACACCAAAGUCCCUAAUUUUCUGGGAAGGCUCAAUGAAAGUUCUCCCAACAUAAUGUGACCUUAUCAACCCUUGUUGAAAUGGCACCCCGGCUUUCGCAGCGUACUCAAGUGCAGCCACCACUCCAGAAUCUGGUACUGCAAUCACAACAUCACACUCAACAGGAGCCUGGGUAGCAAGUACUUCCCCAAAAUGAUACCUCGAUUCAUAAACAGACCUUCCAAAAACAACAGAAUUAGGCAAAGCAAAAUAAAUAUGCUCAAAGAUGCACUGCUUAGGUUCAGGGUGAGGCAUCAAACAAGGUGAUUGAACCCCAUCUUCAUCCACCAUCAAAACUUCACCGGGAUAUACCUCUCUCUCUCUCUCUCUCUCGUAUGUGGCCUCAAUCAAAUAGUGCACAAGUCUCUGACGCAAAAACCAGAGCACCAUUACUCCUCCUACCCAUCACCAAUGGCAUAAACCCAUACGGGUCACGAACCGCAACAAGCUUAUCCUCAGUAACAAACACCAUUGAAUAAGCACCCUCAAGCUUCUCACAAACAUCCAAAAUCCUCAAAAAGAACGGCCUAGCUUUCGAUAUCGGAAUCAAAUGGAGAACAACCACAGUAUCAGAACUAGUAUUGAAAAUGGAUCCAUUAUCUUCAAGCUUAGCCCUCAAAGUAUUAUAAUUAACUAAUGUGCAACACCAACAGAACCAAACCUGUACCCAGCAACAAAAGGCUGCACAUUCUUAAGCAUAGAACUACCCGCUCAAAGAAAAAACAGAGGAGGUGUGUGGAGGGAGACAGUGGCGAAGGGUACUUUAAGUAGAGGGGAACUUGUUCUAGGUUUUUUUCUGGAAUUGUGAGGAAAUCUGAUCCUGUGUUCAUGCAUAUGAUUCAAUUACUUAUAGGUGAUAUUGUUGUGUCACCACAAAAUCUAAUUGGGAAGCUUCAGCUGUCAAUUCUUUUCUGAAAGAAAUUGAGAGAAAAUAUUGUUUGGUUGCUGAGAAAAUAUCUCAGAAAAUUCUCUAACAGCCCCCCUCAAACUCAAAGGACAAGAGUGAACAUUGAGUUUGGCCCUCAAGUAAUUAAACUGUAUGAAGGAAAGAGGUUUAGUCAUUAUGUCUGCAACUUGAUCUGCACUUGCUAUAUAUUGAAUGCUGAGCUCCUUAUUAAGAACCUUGUUGCGAAUAAAGUGUAUGUCAAUCUCAAUGUGUUUUGUUCUGGAAUGGUAAACUGGGUUCUUGGCCAAUUCAGCUGUACUAAUGUUAUCACACCAAAUAAUAGGUUUAGCUGUGCAGCAUACUCCAACUUCAGCAAACAAGGACUACAACCAAGUUAAUUCUGCACUAGCUGAUGCUAAUGCCCUGUACUCACUCUCGGCACUUGACCUAGCUAUUACUCCUUGCUUUUUAGAAGACCAUGAUAUAAGAUUAUUACCCAGGUAGAUACAAUAUGCACUCACUGAUUUCCUGUCAUCUAAAUCACAUGCCCAAUCAGCAUCUGUAAAUCCAGUAAGCUCCAUAUUGCCUUCUUUGAUGAACUUUAAACCAUAGUCCUGAGUGGCCUUUAGAUAUCUUAAAACCCUUUUACAUGCCAUGAGAUGCUGUAGUGUAGGAGCAGAUACAUACUGACUGAGUUUGUUAACUGCAAAAGCAAUCUCAGGUCUUGUCAAAACCAGAUACUGCAUGCUUCCAACAAUGCUUCUAUCUGCUGUACCGUACAUCCGCCUUGGCCGUACAGCAGGAACUGAACACGCUGAACAAAGCAUUUUUUUUUUUUUUGGAUUUUUGGAAUUUUCCAAGAUAUCAUCCACAUAUAUCAACACAAGAAUCAUGGAAGUAUGACUCCUUUUCAAAAACAGAGAUGUAUCAGAAGUAGUAUUAGUGAAUCCCCACUGCAGCAAGCAACUCUUAAGUUUAUCAUACCAAGCUCGAGGAGCUUGUUUAAGUCCAUAAAGAUACUUGUGCAAUUUACACACAUAACCAGGCUUUGUGUUGUCAAUAAAACCUGUUGGCUGAGACAUAUAAACUUCUUCUGUCAAAUCCCCAUUGAGAAAUGCAUUAUUGACAUCAACUUGUCUAAUUUUCCAUUUGUUCAUCACUGCUAAGCUUAAUACCACUCUGAUAGUUGCUGGUUUAAUAACUGGACUAAAAGUUUCAAAGUAGUUUACCCCUGCAAUUUGUUGAAAACCUUUGGCAACAAGCCUAGCUUUGUAUUUGGCUACACUCCCAUCAGUGUUGUAUUUAAUCCUAUACACCCACUUAUUAUCCACAAUCUGUUGAUCAGUCUCUUUAGGAACCAGAGACCAAGUAUUAUUGUGAACUAAGGCAUCAUACUCAUCUUGCAUAGCCUUCACCCAUCUGGAAUCACUCAAAGCUUCUUGCACUGAAUCUGUUUCUUUGUGAGUGAGAAUGGCUGCAUACACUUUUGGUUUAAAAAUGCCAGAUUUGCUUCUGGUGGUCAUAGGAUGAAUGUUGGAUUGUAUUUGAGGUAAGUCAACAGUAGGAGUUAAUGAUGUUGUAUUAUCAGAAGCAGAGGCAGAUAAGAAAUGUUGUGUAUUAACAGGUAGAUGAGUUUGAGAACUUACUUGCUGUGAAUUUUGAUCAUUUGUUGGUUGUGCAGGAUUUUCUAAGUGAGUUGAGUUGCUGCUGUCAGGGUUUGCAGAUAAGGAAUAACCAGUGCUAUUUUCAGUAAAUGAUUGAACAACAGGCAAAGUGGAAAGAUGAUAUAUUUGCUGAGGAGAAAAGGAAGUAGAAGAAAGAGGUGAUGAUGAUGACUCAGUGAAACAAUGAAAGCUAGAAUCAGUAGAGUAAGGAAAAGUGAGUUCAUCAAAUGUGACAUGUCUUGCUAUGUAAAGAUGACCUGAAGGAUGUAAGCACUUGUAACCUUUGUGUGAUGAACUAUAUCCUAGAAAGAUACAUUUGCUGGAAUGAUAGUCAAAUUUGUGUUGGUUAUAAUCCCUCAAGUAAGGAUAGAAUGCACAACCAAAACACUUAAGCAUAUCAUAGUUGGGUUGGUGUUUGAAAAGUUUCUCAUAGGGAGACAAAAGUUUGAGAACAACAGAAGGCAAUCUAUUUAUGAUGUACACAGCUGUAUGAAAUGCUUCCCACCAAAAUUUAAAAGGUAAUUUAGAUUGAGCUAGCAGUGUAAGUCCCAUUUCAACAAUAUGCCUAUGUUUUCUUUCAACCAAUCCAUUUUGAUGAUGAGUGUAUGGGCAUGAGUGUCUAAAAAUGAUACCACACUGAUUUAAGAACUCAGUGAAAGGUCUGUACUCACCCCCCCCAAUCAGAUUGUAACUGCUUAAUGGUGGUUUGAAACUGAUUUUCAACCUGUGUUUUGAAAAGCUUAAAGACACUUAGAGCUUCAGACUUAAACUUUAGAGGGUAGAUCCAGGUAAACCUGCUAAAAUCAUCCACAAAACUGAUAUAAUAGUGAUAUCCAUCUCUAGUGUAGACAGGUGAAGGACCCCAGAGAUCUGUAUGUAUCAGUUCUAAAAACUUAGUUGUUUUGGUUGUGGAUGAAGGGAAAUGAAGCUUAUGGCCUUUGCCCAUUUGACAAGCUUCACAGAUGUAUUGCAGUGCUUGUGUUAUUUGAUUAUCAGAAAAAUUUGCAGACUUGAUGUUUUUGAGAACAUGCUUUAAGAUAUAUUGAUUGGGAUGACCAAAUCUAUUAUGAAACAAAGCAAUCUUAUUCACUGAUGUUGUACAAGAUAAUGCAGUAGAUGAAUAACAAGAUUUUGAAUUAAAAUGAAAACAUGACAGCAUUGACAUUGGCUUAUUUGAACUGAUCUGAGAUAGAAAAGAUGAUUUAGAGAAUGAGUAUGGUUUGAAUAACAGCCUGUAUAAUCCUCUUUCAGCAAUACCCUGCAGCAGAACUUCCCCCUUCAGAGCAUCCUUCACAUAACAUAUAUUUCCAAGAAAUUCAACAGACAAAUGGUUAUCAGAUGUGAGUUUAGAAAUACUCAAUAAAUUUUUGGUAAUUGAAGGGACAAGAAGAAUAUCUUUCAGUACUAUGUGUGGGUAUUUGUGUUGAGCAAAUGAAGUUUUAAAAAAAAAUUUUGCAUCACCAACAUGAGUUAUGGGCAAACCUUGUCCAUUUCCAAUGAUAAGCUGAUCAGAACCAUUGAAUUCCUCUCUGACCUGCAUAUUAGCCAUGUUGUUGGUUAAGUGAUGAGUUGCUCCACUAUCAAGAUACCACCCUUCAUCAGCAGGCCCUUCAAAAUUUCCAAGAUAAGCAGCUCCAGUAGCUCCAGGUGCAGAAGACAUUUCAGAUGAACAAUGAGGCAUAGAAGAAUAUGUCACUGGAUCCAGAUUGUAAGACUGAUAAUUUGAGCAGUUCAUAGCAUAAGGAUCAUCAAAAUAUGGUGCAAACUCAGCAUGUGAGUCACAUGUAGUCAUAUAAGCUGACUUAGGUCCUCUUCCUCUGCCAAAAUGCCUUGACUGUGGCACAUAAUUCUCAAUAUAUCUAUGCCAACAAGCAUCAGCUGUGUGCCCUGACUUAUGACAUAUCUGACAAACAGGAAUGUUAUCAUCUGAUUCAGCUCCAGCUGACACAAAACCUUGACCAUGAAGCUUAGGAUGUGAUAAGACUUUGUGAAACUGCAUUGGCAUAGAGUUGCCUCUUCCAAAAUUAUGACCAAUGUUAUUAAAGCCUCUAGGAUAUGUAUUAAACAUCAUUCCUCUUCCAGCAUUUCUGUUUCCAUUAUGAAUUUGUCCACGAUAUCCUCCAUAACCAAAACCUCAUCUUCUAUUAUUCCCUCUGACUUGAGAAUAAUUGGAAUUCAUCACUCCAUAGUUAGCAUUGAACAUGACUUUAGUAUUCUGAGUGGUCUGACUUUGUUCUAAUCGUGCCUCAUGUGUUAACAGUAAGGCAUAAGCAUCAUCAUAAGACAUCUUAUUAGCUGUGAUAAUAGAUGCAAGAUCUAGAUAACCAGUCCCUAAUCCAUUUAGAACUUGCAUUAACAGAUCCCUUUCUGACAUAGGACUACCAGCACAGGCAAGUUUAUCAGCUAAUAUUUUGACUUUUAAGCAAUAUUCUUCAACAGACAUGGAUUCCUUUCCAAGUACAUUCAAUUCAUAACGAAGUUGCAUUAUUUUAGCUUCAGACUGAGCUCCAAAUUGUUUCUCAAUAGAUCUCCAAGCAUCUCGUGAAUUGUCACAAUUAAGAAUAGAACUGAGAAUAUCUUCAUUAACUGAUGAUAACAGCCAGCCAAGUAGUAUUUGAUCCUGAGCUCUCCAAUUUAUGUAUGCUGGAUUAUCUACUUUCUGCACUGAUCCAUCAACUGUUGUUUGAAUGAUAUGUUGCUCUGGUAUGAUCUGAUUUUCAGAUAUGAAAUCUUCAAGCCGAUUUCCUCUGAUUGAUGUAAGAACUUGUUUUCUCCAGAUUAGGAAAUUAGAUCGAUCUAGUUUUAUUGGAUUACUAAAUGAGAAUGAGAUCUGUGAAGUUUGAUUUGCAUUUGUUGAAUUUGAAAGUGUUGUUAUGUUGCUGGAACUAGCCAUAUUGGCUCUGAUACCAUGAAAGAAAUUGAGAGAAAAUAUUGUUUGGUUGCUGAGAAAAUAUCUCAGAAAAUUUCCAGAGAACUUUCGGAUUUCUUGUAUUUAUUUUUCUUAGAAAGAAAUGUUAUGAUUACAACUUAUUUAUACUUAAAGCUCAAGGAGUACUAAAGCUAAUGACUAACUAAUUCAGUAGGAUCUACACAUGCAUAACCACAGCUCGAUAUACAGAGUAAUCACACCAGACUGUUAACUACUUAAGCUGAGGUGGCAGCUGAGCUGUCAUUCUGCUUACAUUCAUCUGACGUCACCAGCUUGCUGGUUUUCCUUAGCUUGUGCAGCUUCCUCUUUUCUGCACAAUGAGCAUCUCUAACAUUUUCCAAGGGUUAAUUAGGUAGAACUUUCAUGUCGUCGAAUUUAUUUGGAGAUACUUUAGAUUUUUUUUCCUUGUGGGACAUGAAAAUUGAUGCAUGUUCCAAUGCAUUGCUCCUACCAUAUUUGGAAUUAAACUUAGUUUGUGUUCUCCUAUUCCGAAAGCAAAACUUAUACUUACUGUAUAAGUGAUAUUCUAAUAAGUAGAAAUUAAGAACCAUAACAAACUUGAUGAUUCUAAUUUGCUAGAAAUAUUGCAAUCCAAAACUAAGAAAGUUCAAACCAAUUAUUAGAAGAAAAAAGUAGGACGGAAGCUCCCAUAAUAUUGUUAUGUGUUGUAUGUUUUCAGUUUGUAUUUCCCAAUCAAUAAGGAAAAGUAAGUACACAUGUUACAAAAAUUUAAUAAAAAAGAUUGGAGGUGACAAAACCUUCAAUCUUCUAAUUAACUUUCUCUGCAUUGGAAUUUCCUUAGUUUGGUAGAGAUUGCUUAAUUGGUGUAUCUAUUAUAAACACUGUAAGUCAAAGUUACUGUUUUAAUUGUUAAGAAAAGUUAGAAGAAGAAAUUUUUGCAUAAGAGAAUUGGGUUUAAAUUGAGAAUUCUUUAGGAGGAAAUGAGUCUAAAUUCUAACACGAUAAUUUAGCACUAUAUAUAUAUCAUUAAUUGGGUGAAAAAUUAGGGUACCCGUAUGCCUAUGUUGUAACAGUUGUAAGGUACCACUAAUUUUUGUCUUUUGUGAUGUCAAAUUUCAUUUAAUCUCUUUUUUUUAUUUAUAGUUUAUUUAUAACGUUACGUGUUUUGGCAUGUGACUUUUAAAAUAUAAUUUUAUUUUAUUUAAAAUUAUUUAUUUUUUUAUAAUUUAUUUAUAAGUUUAUGUGGUUUGGCUGAUGAUCUAUUCAAAUGUAAUUUUAUUUCAUUUAAUAUUAUUUAACUUCUAAAAGAACAAAUAUAACAAUAAGCCUUUAACUAGAUAAUAUUAACUAAUAUUUUUAAUAAAAUAAAAUAUUAAAAAUAUAUUCUUUUAAAUAAAAUAAAUAAUAUUAAAAAAUAAUAUUUAUUUUUUAGGACUCACAAUUGCUUAUUCUAUUUUAUUUAAUAUUAUUUAAUUUUGAAAAAUAAAUAUAAUAAUAAGCUAUGACUAAAUAAUAUUAAAUAAAAUAAAAUAAAUAUUAUUAAAAAUAAUAUUGAUUUUUUGAGACUCAUUACUGAUUAUUUCAUUUUAUUUAAAAUUAUUUAGUUUCAUGAAAGAAUAAAUAUAAUAAUAAGUCUAUGACUAUAUAACGUUAAAUAAAAUCAUAUAAAUAAUAUUAAAAAAUAUUCUGCUGUACGGCCAAGGCGGAUGUACGGUACAGCAGUUUUUUUUUCCUGCAAUCGCCGAAUNNNNNNNNNNNNNNNNNNNNNNNNNNNNNNNNNNNNNNNNNNNNNNNNNNNNNNNNNNNNNNNNNNNNNNNNNNNNNNNNNNNNNNNNNNNNNNNNNNNNNNNNNNNNNNNNNNNNNNNNNNNNNNNNNNNNNNNNNNNNNNNNNNACCGUACAUCCGCCUUGGCCGUACAGCAGAUAUUAAGUACAACAAUAAGUUUAUGUACGGUACAGCAGAAAUGAAAUGAGAAUAAAUAAUAUUAAAUAAUAUUUUUAAUAAAUAAAUGAUAUUAAAAAUUAAUUUUUUAAAUAAAAUAUAUAAUAUUAAAAUAAAAUUUAUUUUUUAAGACUCACUACUAAUUAAUCAACAUAAAAUUUUAAACAAUUUGGACUUAUGUGAUAAAAGUUUUAAUUCUUUAGCUCUUUUGCGUUUUUGAUAAAAAGCAGGGAGCAUAAUGUUAAUAUUCAAAUAAACAAAUCUCUACCCUUCAAUCUAUCUUUUCAUUAAAUCCAAUGAUCAAGAAUUGAAAUCAUAAAAAAUAAAAUUAGGUGGUACCUUGCAACUGUUGCAAGGUAGUUAAGUCCGAAAAAUUAAUUUCCCUCCUUUGAUGUGAUUUUGAUCGUUUAUUUUUAUAUGAUGGUAAUUUCUUGUUUAGAGUGAAGCUAAGGGUGGGUAAGGUUCGGUUCGGAUCGAAAUUAAGUAGAACCGAUUUAAAUCUGUUAUUUUAUAAAAAGAACCGAAUAAGAACUGAAUUCAAUAAGAACCGAACUCAAACGAAUCUUGUUAAAUCGGUUCGGUUCGGUUUUUUCGGUUUUGGGCCUAUUAGGCCUAUUUUGAAUUUCUAAAUUUUUAGCUCAUUUGGCCUCAUGAAUGUCAUAAUUGUUUUCAACAAUUAAUUCAUCCUAAUUUCAUUACAAAUAUUAACAAUAAAUACAAAGUAUUCAAAACACAUUUUAUCACUAAUAUCUUACUAACUACUAAUUAGAUACUGACUACUCACAAAAUAUGAAAUAUUAAGAUUUCAAAAUACAUAACCAAACUCUAAUACUCCAUCUACAUAAACAUAAUGUUGUAAAGACAAAUAAAAAUAACAACAGUGAUUUUGUUCUUCGGUUCGGUUCUUCGGUUCAGUUGAGUGAAUCGAAUACCGAACCAGUAUUUCGUUUUUUUAUAAAUAAUAUAUUUCAGUUUUUUUUUAAAUUAAAACCGAACCAAAUUAGAACCGAAUUGUCGGUUUGGUUCGUUUUUUUAAGAAUACAGUUUUUUUGUCCAGUCCUAAGUGAAGCUAUUGGCACCAUUUCGCUAUAUUUAUAAAAUUCUACUUCAACUAAAAUUACACUUAAAGACAAUAGAAUUAAACAAACAUGUUUUUUUUUUCCAAACAAAUUACUUACAUUCAUAAUUAUUUUUCUUCUAAUUUUCUUCAUGUUGCUUCGUAUCUAAGUAAAAUAAAUUGUAUAAAUUUAGAAUAAUCUAUUAUUCUUUUUAAAUUUCUUAUUGAUUAAAUACUUUUGUGCUUAAGAUUGCUUUAAAAUUAUAAGAUAAAAUAUGUGUAAUUUAAGCCAAUGAUUAACAUUCAAAAUUUUAUCUCUCAGAAACGUUUUUAAUUUGUGUACAGGGUAACAAUAAAAUCGUAAAAGAAAUAAAAAAUAGCAUAACACUACUUUGAGUUUAGAAAACAAGGUUUCAUGAGGGGUGCAAUAGUUCAACUCUUUUGUGUAAAGUUUUAAGAUGAUGGUAUCCGUAGCUUAGUUUUUCCCUAAUUAUUAUAUUAAAAUGUAAUAACAAUGCUGAUCACGCCAAUCUCAUGGAGGUCAAAGAUUUUGGUCAUGCCGCAUGAAUUAGUGCUUUUGGUUGGCAAAUACUUGUAUAAAUUUAUUUACAUUAAAUAAUUUGACCAAGACUACGUAAGGCGCCGCCUGGAGACUGGAGUCAUCGUAUUUUAUACGUCAAAAGCGCGUUUCAGUUCAAUAAGCCAUAAAUGUCGUUUAAUAUGCUCAUUUUGUACUUUUUUUUAAUAAAAAAAUUAUUUAUUUUUUAAAAAUAUUGUUUAUUUUUUUUUAAAGGUAAAGAGGUGGGUAAAAUCUAAAUUCAAUUUUUAUCCCUAAGAUUUGAACUCAGGUGAAUAGCCAAAUGUAUAAUAACAUGUAUUUCGAAUUUAAUUUUAAAUGAUAUGCAAUUCGUUAAGUGAUUGUUAAUUUUUUAUAAGAUCAAAAUGAAUUAAUUGUAUUAUCUCAUUAACUAAUUGAUAAGUGCCCUAUUAUUUGGGAUAACUUUUGAAUAAAAAAAUUGUGAUGGAUGAAAUAUUCUUUUGAGAAUUUAUUGACUUAUCUCAUUUAUGACUUAUUGUUGCAUUUAAGUGAUUUUGCAAAUAAUAUUAUUGUUUUGACAAGUAAGUUUGGAGUAAAUAAUACAUAUGGCAAGUGUUAGGUUUGUUAUUGCAUAUAUUUUGUGGAUCCAUUUUAAAGCCAAAAAAAAGGCAUUUCUAUUCAUUAUGAUCCCAGAUAAUUUCAAGCCAUAUGUCAUUAUUGGGAUAAAAAUAAAGUAAAAUGGUUAAAACUAUUUUUAUGUAAUUUAUAAAAAUUAAUGAAGCAACUACAAAAAUUUUUAACCGAAAAACAAUUGAAAUGUGUGUGGAAAAAGAAGAAAAAAAUAAGGCAUUUAAAUAUCUUCUUAAAAAAUACGAUUGAGUAAAAUCAUUUUAACAGAAUGCUCUUCCAAAUACAAUUCCACAUUUUUUUUUAUUGCAGUGGGAUAUUCCAAAAUUGGCACAACUCAUUAAGAAUUCGGCAACUCAAAUUUUAUUUAUCACUCUAUGCAUUUGAGAAAUUAAAAAGAAAAAAAAUUCAUAUAUCUUCUGUUCAAAAGAAACCUUGGUAAAUAUUGUAAAACAAAUUACCAAUUUUUUUAAUUUAUGCCAUUAUAUCGUCGCUAUUUUCUCGCCCACUUUCUUAAAAUAGAAUCAAUAUUCAUUGAUGGGUUGGGUUCCAGAGUAAGCACCAAUUCAGUAAAAUGGUUUUAUAGCAGAAAAAGCACUUGUAAGACAUUCAGGACACAUUUUUCAAUUUUGUCUUUUGAAAAUGAGUCUUGAGUUUCCGCAAGCCAAGAAGAAUGGCUAAAAAAUGUAUGGUAUCAAAGAAAGAGAAACACACACACAUAGAAACACACACACACACAGAGAUUAGUGGGGAGAUAUAUAUAUAUAUGUGUGUAAUUUGUAUAUAUAUCCCCAUUAAUUGUUGAUAGUCCAACGGGUGAGUAUAUGCAAAAGGAAAAAAUUGGCUGUCCUUUAAGACAAGAUUGACUGUCACAUGAAAAUGUUAGCACACUUGCCACGCAACAAAAAUAAAGAUUCCAAGAACAACUUUAUGGUCCCCUUUCUAAUGACGGGAUUAGUAGUAGCUGCAAAUUCAUAAAUUUCAUUUAUGAGUUUAUAAAAUCUCACUUCACAAAAUCCAAAAAUAACCAAUACUAUCACACCAAAAGUAAAAAUUAUUGCUGUCACGACAUUACACACUUUCUUUGCUAUCUAGAAAGCUAUAACAUUUGGAAGUUCUUCAAUACAAAAUGCAUACUACUACUAAAUUGGCCCAAUUAGUGCCCAUCGAAAAGGCCAUCAAUUUAGCCACCAAAUUUGCCAAAGUUUUAACAAUUGAAGAAACAAUGAACGCAAAAGGAAUAGGUAAAUUUUAAAGUUGAACAAACCUUGAAAUACAUACAACAAAACCUUGAAACUUUAGUCUUCACAAUUUAAGCACGCAAUAAUAUUAAGUAUCCACCUGGAAAACAAGUAUAGAACAAAGCUUGUUAGCUUCUUGGGCAUUAACUAUGAAUGAUGAGUAAAAUUAAAAAAGCAAACAGAGAAAAUUAUGACAAGAAGAAAAGCAAACAUUUAAAAAAAAAAUACUAGUAGGAAAAUUUUGGUAAAACUCCAUGGCUUAUCUGCAAAAUUAAUGUUAAUGUGUAUUUUUAUGCAAACAGGGUCUCUUGAUUUGAGGAUGAAUCAAUCCGCUAUCACAAACGAAAACAUGAACCAACCAUAUAUAGAGUCAAUUAAUUAAAGUUCUCAAGAGCUUACCUCUGCUCUAGAAUUCUCGGAAUCAUCUAACUCCUUCUGAAUUUGCACGAAACUUUGGACAAUCAUGAACUUCUUUAUAGAAUCCAGAUGGAAAUGGGAUCUGAUAACCUGCAGGCCAAAAGUUGGUGAGGUUUGGUAAAUCUCUCAGUGUCAAGUCCCGAAGUUCAUUCAUAACAAUUUCAUAGUAAUCCGUGACAUCUGCUCCACCUUUAUGCCAAAAUACUUCUUUUAUUUCAUCAUUAGCUUCUAUGGAUAUGUACUUCAGUUUUUGAAGACUUGGAGCUAUGCUGAUAUGAAAUAGAUGCCUUAGUUUGUGGCAAUAACGGACAUAGAUCGAUUUGAGUUUUGGGAAACAUACAGGUUGGAGAUUAUUCUCAUCCUCAUCCUCAUCAAUGAUUUGCUCUAAUUCCCAGCAACGCCAAAUACGUAACACCUCCAAUUGCAACAGAUUUCGAGCAAGUGUUGAUGAGAGGAGACAUCUCAGCGUAGAGCACCCGUUCACGAUUAAAUGGGUAAGAUUUUGCAGGCUAAAAUUAUGCGUGGGACCUUCGUGAUAUAAUACUUGCAGUUCUUGAAGAUCUUCCAAUUCCAACAUCUUCAAACAUGGGAAUAAUUUGUUUUCUUGUACCUCAGCGAUAAUAGCUUCCAAUUGAAAUACCACCUGUACUCCAAGUUGGCUAAUACCCAAAUAUUCCAAAUUUUUUAAGCCGUGCUUCAAUAGUGCUAGAAUCGUGUCACUUAAAUGGAAACAAUCGUCCACAUUUAGAACUUUUAAGUUCUGAUACAAACAAAUAGGUUAGUUGAUAUAAUUAAAAUCUAUUAGCAGCUAGGAUUAUCACAUGAUAAGUGAUGAACCCCGCAAAAAAAAAAAAAAACAGAGACAAAAUCCAUGCAAAAAUAUAAUAAUACAUAUGUAAACAAAUAAAAUAAUUAAAAAGUAAUGGAAUUUUUUUUAAAUGAAAUUAGUUAAAAGAGAUCAUGUGAAGUGAUAUAAAGGUGACAUUAGAUUGUUUGAGAAAAAUUAGUAUUCUAUUAAUUUCUAUGGCUUGAUCAACUAAUUAAUUGAAUUUGAGUAAUAUUAUAUACACUUCAGAAGUGUUUACGUCAAUUCUUUCUAAACCAAAAUGAGAUAUAACUUUCAUUUGAAGAAUAAUUUUAGGCCCUAUAAUAAAGAAAUUUCCCUAAGAUAUCUGAGCAUUAUUAUUAUCAUUACCACAUCCACCACCACCAUCAUCAUCUCCAUAGGAUCAAAUAAUUAAUGGCUGGUAUAAAAUUUAUUGCUAAACUAUCAUUUUGACUAAAAAUUGAAGGAAAAGAAGAAACAUGAACCCAAACAAACAUACCUCUUCAAGAUACUGCAAAUUGGCUUCAAGUUCAGUACUGUUGACGGUCAAGUUGGGACAGUGCUCAAGGUAUAACUCCUCCAACGCUGGCCAAAUUGAAAAAUAAUCUUCUGAACAAAAGCUGAUGAGUUCUGGGAGAUCAUCAAGUAUUAAUUUCUCAACAAAGGGAGGGCAAGCAUCGUAUUUCCAUCUCCGACACUUAUUUCCCCUUCAUUGUGAUCAAACUUUGCUUCGACAAUACAUUCUAGUCUUUCGCAUUCCCUUACAUAGAGACGUUUAAGCUGCUCCAAACUUCGAGCUUGUGACAACGUGAAGAUAUAUGUCAAAGUAUUGCAGCUAUGCACAUUCAAUUCUGUAAGAGUUUGGAGGCUGAUAACAUGGAGAGCGGGCGCCUUCCAUAUCCACUUCAGUUCUGGUAAUUGCUGCAUAGAUAACUCCACUAAUCUUGAGAGCACCUCAUGAUUCCCACUCUUUCCAUGCAGCGACUGAGAGGCAUCCACUAUGCAUUCUAAAUUCUCACAAUUGUUGACAAAUAGACGAGUCAACUCAUUUAAGCCCCUUUCAUCUAUGCUUGGCACAAUAUUAUGACAACCUAUUAACCCCCUCAAACGAAGAAAUUCCAGAUUUUGAUACAAUGCUGAAAAAAUAACGAGCGAGGUCGCUUCAGGAGGGUCAUUCUCAAUGAUUAAUCUCCUUGUCUCAUCACCAUCUUCCAUUUCAUCAUCAACUCCUUCACCUUUACGGAUGAUGUAUCUUUGCAAUUUCGGAAAUGUAAAGUCUUUUGGAAGACAUACAACAGAUCUGUCGGCUUGGGAGUUCAACUCAGCAAGCCUAGCAUUACUUUCUUCUGAACUCAUCUCUUCAACCUCCCAAUUUUUUAUCCGACCAUAAAAUUCUUCCAAUUGAGGAAAUUUUUUUAUCGUAAUGGGAGAAACAGAACCGGUAUCAAUAUAUAGAAGUUUCAAUCUACGAAGUUCAUCCGACAAUUCUUCAAGAAUUUCAAUGGGAGACCGCUGGAGAUAAAGAAGUUCAAGUCUCUUCAACUUUCCACGAAAAGACACAUCACUCACAUCACACCGAAUCAACUGCAGAACUCGGAGGUUUUUGGCUAGGAAUCGAAGUGAUUUUAGUGAAAGGACUCCAUUUAUUAUAGUAACAACUUUCAAUGCUGGCAUCCCUUUAAAAAAAUUUUCUGGAACUUGCAAUUUGUAGUCACAUAGAGUGUUGUCCAGUCGCAAAAUAUGAAGGUCAGGGCAUGCAAAACUACUAGGAAGCUCUUCUUCUUUAUUUCCCAUUACAGAGAUUCCUUUGCACUGUUCCAGGCCUUUUUCCACCGCCCGUUCCAGCAAUCUGAUGCCAUUUAUACUAAACAAUCUCUCCUCCUUCUCCUUCUUCUCUGUGCUUAUCCAUAUGGCUACAUCACGAACUACGUCAUGCAUUUUCACAGAUCUGUCAUUACCAGUGUCUAACAGCAGUGAAGCAGCUUUGAGUCCGUCAAUUGUUCCAUGCAGUAGGCUUCUGGUGUUCUCUAUUGACUCAGCUUGAUACCAAGUCAACCCUACUGCAUAUCCAACCAAAUCCUCCAAAUUAAUCUCAUAAUCUUCUGGAAAUAGCGAACACAGCAAGAAGCAUAACUUGGAAUUGUCAUCAUUCAAUUUGUCGUAACUAAAUUUGAGACAACCGUAAACAUCUAAGUUCUCCUCAUCAAUACCUUCUAUUGCAUAGAGUUUUGCAGCCUUUAGGUUAUGUAGAGCUAGGUUCCAUUCAUUAAAUCCUUUUCCUCUUAGUGCACUUCCAACAGCUUCAAUAGCUAAAGGCAGCCCCUUACAUUCUCCAGCAACUUCUUUGGAAACAUCAUUCAAGGUGGAGUCAUUUACAUCAAUGCCGGCA